CCUUUUCCUCUUCUAACGCAAACUCUGUCCAAGAACUCUCCAUGGAUCUUAACAAGAAUCGCUCGCACUUCUCCAUGGCGCAGCCUCAGCACUUGUUGCCGCCUUACUCGUACGUUGCAUGUCCGGCACUUGAUCAGACGGGGACCAUGAAUCAUCAGCCUCUUCACUCAUCGGAUGCUUUUCCUCAGAUCCCGGUUGUACAAACCGGAGGUGAAUUCGGCUAUUUGGUUUGUAAGCCCGGUGUGAGGCAGGAACGAGGUGGAUUUCUUGAUCCACACUCCACUAAGAUGGCUAGGAUCAACAGGAAGAAGGCGAUGCUAAGAUCAAGAAACAACUCUAACCCUAAUUCUAGUUCGAAUGAGUUGGUUGAUUCAAGGAGACAAGUGGCUCUUACCAUGAAAAAUAAUGCCGAGAUUGCUGCUAGAAAAGAUUUUUAUCGAUUCUCCUCAUUCGAUAACAAGGUAUGUAUUUCUUUGGCCCAAAAUAAUGGAAUAUAUGCGAUUCUACAUUCAUAACAUGAUAAUGUUUUUGAAUUUUUUGUUGACUGUACGUAGAAACUUAGGGUUUUGUUGGUGAAGCACUUGAAGAACAGCGAUGUUGGGUCACUUGGGAGGAUUGUUCUACCAAAGGUGUGUAAAUUCUUACAUUUCUCGUAUUCUUUAUGGUAUAACUAAUGUUAAAACAAUUUUGUAGAGGUAAAAACACUAAAUAUGUUGGGGAUGGAUUGAUGAAAGAUUAUCAAUUACGUAACUACGAAUUUUAAAACCUCAAUUUCAUGAGAAAGUUUUUUAAAAGUAAUAUAAUUUCUGAUUUGGCUAUUACCAUUUAAAAAGAUAUUAUCACUGCGACCACAUAUUCUCUCAUUAUGCAAUUUCACACAUUUUCCUCCAUUCAAACCAUCGUUGUUUAACCAAUGAGAAGUUUAGUCUCUAAAACACAUGGAAAACAAGAGGGAUUUUUUUUUUGAUAAACCAGAGGAAAAUUAAACAUGAAAACAAAAUGUGAAAUAUAUAAUUGUUUAAUCAAUACGGAGUAUUUUCGUUCAUUCCUUUUGGUGUGAGCUUUUAUGUUAUACAGUACUAUAGUAUUUUUUUUAGUUUAGCAAGAAUAUGGUGAUUAAAAAUCUAGUUUAAAUUUGGUUUAUCUAUAUUUUAAAUUUGAAGGACUAAAAGUCAAAGUUUUGGAAUGAGCACCAAAAAUGAAAUACAGUAUGAAAAAAAUCGAAAUAGAUUGAUCAUAGCUCCUUCAAUCUAAUAUUCCGUGUAAAAACUUACUAACCAAUGAAUAAAAAACACGAGAAGUAAACGAUUUUCUAGUUGUAGUUAGCUAAAAUGGUUAAUAAAGUGGUUAAAAUGACUUUAUUUUGAAACGGGGUUGAAAAAAAGUCGUAUAUAUAUAUAUAUAUAUAUAUAUAUAUAUAUAUAUAUAUAUAUAUAUAUAUAUAUAUAUAUAUAUAUAUAUUCCUUUCCUAAUUAAUUGCCUCUUAAAUGGCAUUCCUCGAAAUCAUUAAGGAAAAGUAGAAAACAAACAAAAAGCCAUUAUGGAUUAAUUGGGGUAGUUUACUAGUUUUAUUAUAGAAAAAUCAUAUCAAAUCAUCCCCUUUAUCUAUCUUAGUAAGAAAAUAAUUAGUUUAUUUGCACCCAAAAAAUAAUUAGUUUAUUAAAAAGUAACUAAGUAAAUCAUGGGUUUGGAGCGCAGAGAGAAGCAGAAGGAAAUCUUCCGGAGCUAUCUGAGAAAGAAGGAAUGGUAUUAGAGAUGAGAGAUGUUGACUCUGUGCAGUCUUGGUCUUUCAAAUACAAGUGAAGUCUCGUUUCCUUUCUCUUAUAUAUAUAUUGAUAGAAAACAUUUUUAUGUUCCAUUUUUUAAUCUACCAAUAGUUUAACAAACCUUAUAAGUUCUUUAGUGAUUUUUUGUUAGUGGUAUGUUUUAUAGCUUGGAAUUUGUUAUAUCGGUUUCAAUUUAAUAUUUUUGGAACGAGAGAACUUAUAAGGCUUGCAUUAAUGUGAAACGCAGGUACUGGUCCAAUAACAAGAGCAGAAUGUAUGUCCUCGAAAACACAGGUAAUUAAGGAACUACUUUGUUCUUUCAACAAGUAUAGUUUUUUUUUUAAUUCUUUUAUGUUGAAAAUUAAAGGAGAAUUUGUGAAGAAAAAUGGAGUAUUGAUGGGAGACUAUCUAACAAUCUACGAGGACGAAAGCAAGAAUCUCGUGAGCUCUCUUAUUAACUCUCUUUUCUUAUUUUAUUUUGGAAAAGACAAAAUGUUAAAUAAUGAUUGAUUAGUAGUCCAAAAUUGGAAAUUUGAAAGUGUGUCAUUGAAUUUAGUUUGUUCAGCAUCCAGACAAAAAAAAUUAAUUGCAUUUUUAUGAUUUUUAAAUGAAGAUUUUAAUUGAUGUUUCUGCUAUAUUUGAUCAUAAAUAUAACAUUCUACUAUCUAAUUAUUACAUCUUUGAAAUAGUAGUCAAGUAUUUGGUGAUGUUUUAUCCUUUCCAAAAAAUAGUUAUUUUGAGCAGCCGAUUUAUUUGGUUUUGAAUACAUGCAUUGUACCAACCGAACAGUUUUUCAGAAUUUGGUUUUCUAUUUGAGUUAUUAUUUUAUGUAUAUAUAUAAAUAUAUAAAAAUGAUAUUGAAGUCAAUUUUGACUAGUAUGGUUUGAACUAAAAAAAAGAAAAGUUAGUAGUCUUAAUAUUUCUGUUUAUCUUCACAGAAUAUUUUUAUCAAAAUUAAUUUAAUAUUAAUGCUAAAAAAAAAUUUACAUAUGUAAAAAUCAAUACUGAAAGUAUAUAGUUAAAGUCCUAUACAUGACUUGUUGAAAUUUAAUUGAAUAAUGUUUUGGUCAACAACAUAGAACUUAUUAGAGUUUUUUUUUUUUUUGGUAAAAGAACUUAUUAGAGUUUUUUCAUGCUUAUAUUUGGUUUGGUUAUUAAAUAAUUUUCUAACAUUUAUUUCUCCUAAUUGACCAAAAUGAUCAACUGCUUUUUUUUUUUUUUGAACAACCCAAAAUGAUCAACUGCUAAAACAUCUUAUAUAUGUGUAUAUUUGUUUGGCUUCAUUACAGUACUUCUCCAUCAGAAAGCACCCACACAAACAAAAUGAUGGAAGAGAGGAUGAGUCGAUGGAAGUUAUCGAGAUGAACUUCUAUGAAGAUAUAAUGUUUGAUUACAUACCAAAUGAUGAAGACGAUUCCAUUGCAAUGCUCCUCGGAAAUCUAAACGAGCACUAUCCCUACCCAAAUGAUCUUAUGGAUCUCACUGUCAAUCUUGAUCAGCAUCAGCAAGCCACCUCCUCGUCGCCACCUGCUGAUCACAUGAGCUCGAACGAUUUCUUAUGGUGAUGUGAUGGACGUUGAUAUAGAUUCCCUUUGAGAUGAUAUACAAGGGAUAAAAAGAAAAGAGUAUCAUAUUCAUAUCCAUAUUUGUUUGAUAAAAUGUGUUUGUUCCCAAUCUAUUAUUUAUGAAAAACUUAUUUGUGUUUAGCUCCAGAUUAAUUAAAUAUUUUUCAUUUGACUUUUAUACUCCAUAAGCAAAAUUCACAAGAUGUGAAUUCAAUAGUAUUUAGUUAGGCAAUUGUUGAAGUUUUUGUGUAGUUUGAGAGAGGUUCAGAUAAUUUCCUCUUUUAUGAAAGUAUUGGUUCCGCCAUUAUCUUUCCUUUAGGAUUCACCAAUUUUUUUUUUCUGGAGAGAUUUGUUGCAAUUUCCUCUUCGUCGUUAACCGCUUCAGCUGUUAUUGACCAUGAACUGGUGGCUUAUUGAAAAUUGCUACCAAUUCUGAAUCCAGCCAGGUGUGAGUUUUUGGUAUUUCGUAUCAAUCUCUCAAAUAUUUUUUUUAAGCCUUUAUUUUUGUAUUGUUUACUAGUAGUUUUCUGCGCCAUACACAAAACUAAACCUUUCAAAAUAACUAUAUAUAUAUAAAUUUACUUUAUUAAUUAAAAAUAAAAAUAAAAAUAAAAUCAUGAAUAUUUAUUUAUUAUUUAUUUUCCAUUUGACUUAACAAUAUUUACUUUAUUUUUUUGUUUACAUAAGUUAACUGUGUUUCAAAAACAAAAGUUAAGUAAAAUUAUGCUAAAAGUAACAAUUUUGUUUAUCUUAUAUUUAUAUAUUUUAAACAGUAAUUCUGAGUAUAUAUUUUGUUUAAAUUUUACCUCAUCAAUAAAAUGUAUUUAUUUUAUUUAUCUCAUAAAAAUAAUAUCACACAACAAUUAUUGUAUAAUAUUUAAAUCCAAUAAAUUUAAUAGAUUAAAAAUUCAAUUAAUCAUCUAUAACUUAACUGUUCAUAAAAUAUUAAUUAAAAUUGUCAUAAUUUAUUUGUUAUAAACUUUUAUAAUGAAUUUUGAUGAAAAUAUAUAAUUAUACAUCGACAAACAAAUUAACUAUACAAAAUUACUUACUUAUUUUAUCAUAAGUUCAUUUUAAUAAAAAAUAUAUUUACACUUAUAUUUUUUAGAAUAUUAAUAUAAUUAUAAAUAUAAUUUACAAAAUGUAGCCAGAUUCUGUAAUAUCUUAUUUUAAGAUUUUUAACAAAUAUUAAAAGUUUUAACAUUAAAUUUGUAUAUGUCAUAGUAAGAGGGAGAUAAUCCAUUUCAUCAUUUUUCUUUCAAAAUAAAUGUGGUGAUGACACACAAACAAAGUUUAGAAAAUUAAUUCCUAAAUAAUGUUUUGGGGAUCGUUUUAUUUACGUAUUAUAAAACCUUGAAAGUUAGAGGUACUUAUUAGUUAGAAUAGUUCAAUGUAAACUAGUGUUAUUAUAACUGGAACUAUUUUAAUAAAUUUAGUUGGAUUUUCUAAUACAUUGUGGAUUAAUUAGUAUGUAUUAUAAUGAAGUUAUUUUAAUGAUAAAAUAAAAACUAACUCAACAUUAAUUUGUUAUUAAAUGUUUUUGAUAAACUUUCUUUUUAAAGAUUUUGACUAACCUUUCUUUUUGUCGAAUAUUUUUGAUAUUUUCAAGUAGUAUGUAGCUUUAAAUUUUCAGUUUGAAGUUUAAAAUGUUUACUUAAGUUAUUGUCUUUUAAUUUUGGUUAUGUAUAAUUUUGGAUAAAUAUGACAGAUUUUAGAUUAGGAAGAAUCAAUCAACUGAACCGAAUGAUAAUCAUUUUUUGGGAAUUUAUAAGUAUAAUACAUUUAGAACCAAUCCAGAGUUGAGUAGAACCGACUCGAAACCGAAUUAAAACUCUAUGGGUAUUUAUAUAAAUAUAAAACUUAUCUACAUACAAGACAAAUCCGAUAAACACUAACCCCGAAAACUUGAAUGCACAUACAUAGAUAUUGGAAUAAAAACUUAUGAUGAUGUAAUGUAAUUCAUGAAAAAAAGAAAAGGAAAUAUAUAUCUUGAUUAUUUUCAAAUCCAUCUGAAAACCUUUUUAUUUAUUUUACUUUUGUUAUAGAUAUAAGAAUACAUUAAAAUAUAUUAAUAUCAGAAUCUAAUAAAAUACAAUAGACUUCGAAUAACAUAAAGUUUUAGGAGGUGUUAUAAUUUAAUGGAAAUUCAUCUUAUAUAUUAAAACAGAAGUUACAACCUUGAUUCAUGUGUGAUUUAUUUUAAAAAAUGGACCUAAUGGAUCUAUUCAUAGAAAUUCAUAUUACAUUUUAGUUCAGACUAAUAAUAAAUAUAAUUUUUAAAAUAUAUUAAUCAUAAUAUCUUUUGAUAUCUUUUCAUUUUAAAUAUAAAUAUAUUUAUUUUAAAAUUCUAACAAAUCUGUUUAAAAAGAUUUUUACAAGAUCUUUAUUUUCGAAAUUAUAUUUAAAUAUUUUUGCUAAUUUCAAAAUUAGUUUAAAAUAUUAUUAUACAUUAAUAUAUUCAGUUAUAUAAAACUAAAAAUAAAAAAUCUAUAAUAUUUUAUUUAUUAUAUAAUCAUAAUCAAUCAUAUUAAAAUAAAAUUAUUAUAUUGAGCUAAAUAUAAUAAAAUUGUAUUAAAUUUAUAUAUUUAUAUAUUUUAUUUUCGUAAUUACAAAUUAUUUAUGUUCAAAAAUAAAAUCUAAUAUGUUGGUAAGAUGGGUUAACAUUAUCAAACUAUAUAAUACAUGUAUAAAAAUUAACAUGUAUUUCUUUAAAGUUAAUAAUAAAAAAUCAUUGUAACUACUUUAAUCAUAAUAUAUUUUCAUUUUAAAUAUAAUAUAUAUUUAUAUAUUAUAUUUUAAAAAUUCUAAUAAAUCUGUGUAAAAUUAUUUAAACAAUAACUUAAUGUAUUUUAAGUUAUCGUUUAAAAAUGAAAAUAAAUAAAUUAUAUCCUAUUUUAUCUACUUUAUAGUCAUGAUCAUGUUAAAAUAUAAUUAUUAUACUAAAAUAAAUAUGAUAAAAUUAUAUUCAAUUGAUAAAUUUAUAAAUUUUAUUUUCAUAAAUAUAAACUAUUUAUUUAAAAUAUAAUAUGAUGAUAGAACAGCUUAAAAUUAACAAACUAUAUAAUACAUGUCUAAAAAUUAACAUAUCUUAGACUUUUAUAUAUACAAUAAUAAAUUAUCUAAAAUGAAUAAGAAUAAAAAUAUUGGAAAAAAAAAUCCAGUUUUGAAAGACGGGUCAGAAUUUAACAUAAAUUAAAUACAAAAUAAUUUUUAAAUAUAUUUUUUCAUGAAUAUAUUAAUUUGUUUAAUAACUAAAUGCAAAUAUAAUAAGAUAAAUAUAUAAUAAGAAGUGGUAAAUACAUACGGGUUUAAACAAUUAAUUAAUUAUAACAUGUAAAUUAUAAAAUUAUUGUAUUUGAAAUAGUUAUAUAAAUAUUUAAGUAUAUGAUUAACAUUAAAAAUAUAUACCACUUAUAUUCGAAAACAAUAAUUUAUGUAUAGAAAAGUGAAAACAAACACCCGUACGGUUGCACGGGUCAAAAUCUAGUGUAUAUUAAAUUUAGAGUCUUUUUUAUUUAAGUUUAGAGUCAAAUCCAGUGUUACAAUAAAAUCUCAUAUUAUCAAUGUAUAUUGGAUUUUAUUAGAUUCCAGUUAUGAGAGAUUUUUCUGGAUUUAAUAUACUUUUAUCUGUAGAAGACUAAAACAAAUACAUUUUUUUCAUAUUUCCAGUAUUUAAAAUAUAUAACUUCACUAUUUUUUGUCUUUUUAUAAACUAUAUUAUUCAUUUUUUCAUUGUAACAUUUAGACAUGAGCAUUAAGAUUUCCGGGAUGAGUUUGAAUCGGUUUUUAUUGGGUCCAUGUCUUUCAGAGAGAAGUUUGGACCCAUAUAGAUACCCAUAAAUUUAUAUUUCGUGUUGAGUCGGUUCAACUGAUUAUGGAUCAGGUCAGAUCGGUUUUAAAUAGUUUAUACCUAAAAUAUCUUAAAAAUUGGGUAUAUUUCUAUUUAUUUUUUCAGUUCUUUUUAAUCUAAAAUUGGUCAAAUUUAUCCUAAAAUAAGAUAAAUAACCAAAAUUGAGUCAGAAAAUAAUUAAAAUUAAAAUUUUAAGAUUCAAGCUGAACAUUGAAAGUUAUAUACUACUUGAUUUUUUCAAAGCAAAUUCUACAAAAAGAAUGGAUUGGUAAAAAAAUAUGCAAUGAAUUGUUUUACUAAAAAUAUUUUAACUGAAUUUCAUUUUCUUAUUGAAUUGAUAAUACGAAGAAAUUUAUUAAAAUAUAUAAUAAUUUAUCUAUCAUGUAUUAGAUGAUUUAACUAAAUCUAUUAAAAUACUUGCCAUUACAAUUACACUAAAAUAAACUGAUCUACUCAACACCUCUUCAAUGUAUUUCAUAUUCCAUCUAAUAAGAAUUUAAUCCAAUAACACCAGAUUUGAUUAUAAAUUUAAAAUACAUUCAACUCUACUAAAUUAUAAUACUCCAUCCUUUCGAAAAGAUACAUAUUCUAGAAUUUUUUUCUGUUUCAGAAUGUUAUAUUUUUGUAUUUCCAAUGCACUUUUUAUCAAUUAAUAAUGAUUAAUUGUAAACUUUAAGAAAAUUAAUUGCAUUUUCUGAAUUUUUAUUGGUUUAAAAUUAUAGGAAAUAGAUAAUGAUAGAAAUUAUGUAUUUAAUAUUGAAAUUAAAUAUGUUUUAUUAAUCUGUGUGAAAAACCUAAAAUAUGUAUCAUUUUGAAAUGGAGGAAUUAUUCAUUAACACCAUCUUAAUGCAUGAACAAAAACAAAAACACAAAAUAUAUAAAUUCAAUUGAAUCUACAUUUACAACAAUAAUCAAACUGUAAUCCUGUAGUUACAUUGUCAGAAGAAAUUCUCUUACUACAGCGCUAAAAAAAACUCAAAUGAAUUUUUAAGAUCUCAUAUUACUAUUUAAUAUAUAAUUUAGUUAUAUAAUUAAAUAUCCUUUUCUUUUUAAGUGACCAAUCCAAUUAUAAAAUGAUACUCCCUCUGUUCCUAAAUAUAUGAUGUUUAGAAUAGUUUUUAUGUUCCAUAUGUAGGAUGUUCUCAUAUGUCUAGGUAGCUUUAAGUUUAUCAAAAACUGUGUAACCAAUCAAAUUUAAUAGUUUUAUUUUGUAAUUGGUUGAAUAGUUUUAAUUUAAAAAUUUAAUGAUACUUUUUAGAAAAAAAGUAACUUUCUUAAUAAGUGUGUUUUACCUAAAAAUCUUAUAUUUAGUAACAGAGGGAAUACUAAACAUGUUUAGUAAUAUGUAGAAUUAUAGUAUAAUUGUAACCACAUAUAUCUUGCAAAAUUUUUAAAAAAUCUCGGAUUAUAUUUUUGAAACCUUAAAAUCAUGUAUAUAUAUAUUAGGGCGUAGUCCAAACUCUUCCCAGUUUACAAAAUUAAAGAGAAAAAUAUAUAUUUUUUUUUUAACACCAAGAGAAAAAGUAUAAUUUGCAUAAAACUAAGUAUUUUCCUUUGUCUUGUAUACUAUAUAAACAUGUGUUAUUAUUAUUCCUUCCUAAGCAUGACAUGUUUAACGCAUACUUAAAUAUCUUGCUUGCAACACAAGAACACAGAAAAUGGUACCUAACCUCACGGCUUAGAAUUUCGGUCCUGGAUCUUGGACUCCGUCGACGUGAACUGUGUCUCCGGUUACUGGUUCAUAAUGGUGCUGAUCGGUGCAGUGCUGGUGGUGUUGAGACGCAAUGCCUCCCGUUUUACAUUCACUCCUAAUCUCGGCUUGCCACGUUCUCCACUGUUUGGGUCUGAUACCUAAUUCCAAGUUGCAACGAGACUACGUCGAUGGCCUCCUGAGAACACAUCUGCAACUCAAGGUGCAAUUUAAGUGACUCUCAGAUCAGGGCGGCACAAAUCGGUGGUCGACGGUGGUGGUUGGUGGUGAAGAUACGUGAACGAUGGUGAAUAUAUACAUGCAGCUGUUGAAUCGGCUGGGAUAAAUGGUGGAUUACGAUGACUCCUUUGAUGACUACAUGGAUCGCCGGUGACUUGUGGCUCAUGGCGGUGACUGGUGGUGGUGAUGUGUCACAUGUGGUGAUGUAACCGUGACUGAACCAGCAGGUGACUUGGAGCAGGAUGCCUAAACGAACUAGAUGAGCUAAGUGACACUAAUUUGGAGCACAAUGAGCUGAAUGAGCUAAGCUACAUUGAGGUUGUUAUGGACCGAGCUAGAAAGGAAGAAAUUCGGCCCAAACCUGAUGAUAGAUCAGAGUUGUCUUUCUCAGUCAAAAAGGAAACAAAGAUCCAUUCUCCUUGUCUAGAGGUCCAAUCACAAGAUCACAAACCAAGAGACUGAAGGAAGCUAUUUAGUGUCUGUUUACCUGAACCAGGAUCAAAACAAUUCAAAAAUCAAGUGAAAGUGCCAGCCAAUUUAUUCAACUAUUCAGUCUCCAAGACCACCUAGGAUUUAUCUCUUUCGUUUUUUGUUUUCUACAAGUCAUUAGGAAAACUGUGUUCUUUUCUUCUACAUAAACUCAUGUAUUGUUUCUGAAUUAUUCAUUCACUUUUGUCAAACAAAUCUCUUUUGUCUCUGUAAAUCCCUUGUUUGUCUUUGAACAUUGACUACUUAGGAGGGAAAUCUCUGCAAGCAACUAUCGUUUUUUAUCAUUGUUUGUGGGAACGCCUCUCACGAUCAAAGACAAAUCUACACAAAUGUUGAUCAGUCAUAUAUCCACACUGCAGUCCAUCCAACCCUAUUCCAUCCCUCAUCAAUUUAAUUGUGUUAGUAACCAAUUUGAUCAUCAAAACCAUCCUGAUUGUGCUAGUAGCCAUCAGAAUAUCAACCCAAAAUCGACCCUCAAGAUCAAUAAAAGGGAUUAAACCAUCAAGGAUUUCAUUAAGUGUGUCACAUGUGGUGGCUCCUCUCUCACUCACGCAUCAAAAAGGGCUGCUGCCCUUUGUAGAAGGAGAUGAAUACACAUGUAUAUAUUAAUAUAUAUGUAUACGGUAUACCACGUUUAGUGAAAGGGAAACAAAUAUUUGAACCAGACUUGGUUUAGUAAACCAGGUUGUUAACAUAAAGUUUUGAAAUCAAAUUCUUCUUUCCGAAAAAUCCAUAUUUUUCUAGAUGUUAACAUAAAGUUUUUUUCCUGCUCAUUAAUUAAUUUACUUUUUUGUCAAGUAACGAAUUUUAGGUAAAAAGAAUUGAAAUGAUGAUACUUUUUUUGUUACUUUGAUGUAUGUUAUUUUAGGUGCAUGAAACAUAGUGAACAAUCAUUGAGUUCUUUUCUAGAUCCAAUUUUUCACCACGUCAAUAUCCAACUUUGGUGUAGCAUUUGAGUUGAGAUCGUUGAUUUCGAAUACACUUCUAUAUAUUGUGGAUGCGUCUUCGUGCUAAUAUUAUAUCACGGUCAAUAAAAUUUAGUAUUUAGGUUGUUAACAGAUAUACAUGUUGUUAGUUCGUUGUAUGUUUCCGUCAGAAGGCUUUGAUUGGUAAUAUAUAUUACUAAUGACUCAAAAAAUUUACCAAUCAUGAAUUAGUUUUAAAUUUUUUAAGUUGUGUUUAAGUUGUAAUAUAUUAUUAUUCAGUUACAAUUUGAAGUUAUAACCUUUGUAAAAAUAAUAAAUCAAAUAUUAAAUUGUUGAGUUAGAGAAUUUUUUAGGUUUUCUAAUAACUACCCACGUCCAUUUUCUUAUUUCUAACAAAUUCAACAAUUUACAAAAAAAAAAUGAUCAUAUAGUUCAAUACAUAGUUUUAUUAAUUAAUAAACUAUAUUUAAUCAUUUAACAUUAGCUAUCUACUAGUUAGCCAAAGAUUUCUCAAAAAAUAAUCACUAAAAUUAGUUAAUCAAAACUGUUUCUAUAUUUUAAUUGUUAAUUUUGUUUGGUAACUAAAAUUUACGUCCAUAAAUUAUAUAUAUAUAUAUAUAUAUAUAUAUUCAAGUUAAUAUAUUUUAUUUCUCUCUACAAUUUUCUUUAUUGAAAUUAUUUAUAUUAAUUUUAUAUUUCAAAAAUAAUACAUACUACCGUUUAUACAUCAAAAUUUUUACCUAUUAAUUAUGUUACUAAAAUAGUAACUUAUAAUACAGCAAUUUUUUUUGAAUGAAUCUGAAAAUUUAUUCAAUCCAAAUUUUUUGUUUUUACAAUGACUGCUUUUUUGUUUUUGACUUUGAAAGCUAUCAAAGGUUUAAAAAAACGAGCAUAUGUGAUGAAAACAGAGCAUGUAUCCAUCUGAUCUCUAGUUUCUUCUCAAACUAAACCACAACCCAUAGCACCAUCAUAUCUGCUACGAUCUUCUUCCCCAGAGACAAUAUGUGGUUUCGAACCGUUUUGUCAAUAUUUUGUUGGAUUUGUGUUUGCCCCAUGCUUACUUCACCAUGACAUCUUCUAUAUCUCUCCCACCAUAUGGUGUAUAUUGUAGCUUGAAAGACAUAGCGUAAUGUGAAGAGGGGAGUGUCAUCCUUUAAGAAACCCACGAUCAACUCAAGGAUUCGACUCCACUCGUUUGUAUAGCUAGAGCCCAGCAGCGCCGAAGUACAAAAAUCUACAACAAACUCACUAAAUAAAUCUACAGCUUCUACUCCAUAAUUUUUACUAUAAAUUACAUCAAAUCAUAAUUUUUAGCGUAAAUCAACUUUAAUACUAGCCUCAAUAAUAUACAAGAGACGUUUCACACAUUGUAUCGUUUAUCUAUUAAUGUGGUUUAUCUCUCUUUUUUUGGUGUCUGAUAUUAUGUGAAUGAGUGGCUAAACAUCGUCAUUAACUUUAACAAAUACUGCAAGUGAAAUGACAAGUAAGAUGGUAUACACUAAGGGUUCGACUGGUACCAUUCUGGAAUCAAGAAGAACGAAUAGAAAAGGAACAUAAAGGAAUUCAUUCUUAAAUUUAACAAGGAAUAUUUUUGUUUUUUAUUUUUCUACAAAAAAAAAAGAAUGGUAGGGAAUGAGAAGAAAAAAUUAUUCCUUAUGAAUGAUGAUAUUUUUUAGGAACGUUAGGGAAUACAUUAUUCCUCGCCGUUUUCUGGUUACCUUUCAUAUGCGUCAGACAAUUUGGGGACAUGAAUUACCUAGAUAUGUUUAGUUGAUAGGAGAAAAUUAUAAUGAGAUUACUUCAAAGUUUUGCAUAGAAAGGCCCAACUUAAGAUUAGAAAUUUAUACUUUCAGGCUUUAGCAAACUAAUUAUUUAUUGUUUUAAAAAAACAAAAAAAACAAACUAAGUAUUUAUUGAGACAAUCAAAACAAUAAUAAAAGGAGGAUAUGCUCACCGGAGAGCCCCUCCACGUCAGCACUUAUAUUUGACCAAUAGUGUGUGUUCGUUUGUCCACGACCAACAGACGCUAUCUGAACUUGGGCUUCACAUUUUAAUUGAUUCAUAAUAAGCUCAUUCUCGUGCGUAGUCCAAGAUCAGCCUCAUCUCACCACUUACACUUACGAUCCCUUGCGGCGAUUCAUCUCUUCGACGACUCAUCACUUCGCCGUUACUCCUUUUCCAUGGAUCGAUCAAUCGGCACCGUAUUCAUGAGUGAAUCAUCCUCUGGAGAACUCAUUAAUGUGUUCUUUUGCCUAUCUUCCUUCCAAUCUCUAUAUAACCUUCAUAUCUUCUCCAGAUUAGUUACACACACAAAUAUCUCAAACCAUGAAUUCCAACAGUCAAGCACCUAUUUCCGGCGAUGUUACCACGACGAAACCAAACGGAAAAGACGUUGUCUCCUCCGCCGAGCCUGUCAAACGAGUCGGUCAAACCGGAGUCUUUCUCGCCAGAUCUGCUUCUGGCGUUUCAAAAUCUAAGAAACCAGUCGGCAGAGCCGUUAUCUCCUCUACCGAUACGGCCAACCGAGCCGGUCAUCCCGGAGACCCUCUCGCUACAGCUAUCUCCGGCGAUUCCAAGUCCAAGAAAUCAAGCGGCAAAGCCGUUGCCUCCUCCGCCGAGCCGGUCAAAGGAACCCGUCAACACGGAGUCUCUCCCGCUAUCGCUGUCUCCGGCGAUCCAAAGUCCAAGAUACUCAACGGCAGAUCCGUCGUCUCCUCCUCCGCCGAAGUACUGUUCUUCAGAGAUGUCAAGUACGGACCACAAGAAGGCGAGCUAAGGUUUCGUCUGAUACAUUUUUGGGAGGCUCGGAACGCACUCACGAAGGUCCUGUUCGGUCUCGAAAUGAUUCUGAUCGACGGACAGGUCUAUUCCAACGUUUAUGAUUUCGUAUUGGUUUUGCUUUUCCGAUCAAAUAAUAACAUUCGUCGCUUUGUUUUUUGUUAUCAACAGGGUACUGUGAUCCAGGGGUUCAUCCCACCCAACAGGAUCGAGACCUAUUUGCCACAUAUGUUCGCUGGUUCCGUCUACAGGCUUAAUAACUUUUAUGGAUCUAAAAGCAAGACUGUAUACCGAGUUGCUGAACCAUUAGUGACGAUUGCUUUCUCAUGGAACUCUGUGCUCUCACCUCUCGAGAACAGUCCGAUUCCGUUUCCUGAAGACCGGUUUCGUUUCUAUGGUUAUGAGGAGUUUGAAGCGGCCUGUGACCUCAAGGGAGAUCUUUAUGGUAAUCUUCUCUCGAAAUCUUUUGUUUAUCACUUGAUUGGUUUGGAAUACGGGGUCCUUUAGUCGUGUAGGUUUAGGUUUGUUAGUAUGAUAUACAAUAAUAAGUAUUGAUUUAUCUUAUGGCAGAUUAUGUCGGUCACAUGAAACUGGUGAAUGAGCAGACCUUGAGUGAUAGUCUUGUGCUUGAUGAAGUCGAGAUAGCUUCUUCCAGGAGAAUUUUGGUCCAUGUCCAGACGCAUGAGUGAGUUCUCUUUUUAGUUAUCGAUAUCACGAGUUGUAGAACGCAUUGAUAGAUAUUUAGGAACACUAUAAAUAAUAAUUAUACAAAAAAAUAUAAAUAAUAUUUUAUAGAUAUGAUCUCGAGAUUAGAAAUAAAUUAAUUUCUCUUUGAUGGAUUAAAAUUAGUAUAUUGAGUUCUUUUUGUAUAAAAAAAAUCCUAACUACAUGAGUUUGGUUUGAUGCAGUGGUCCUGUCAUGAAGCUGUACAUAUGGGACAAGGUUGCUGUAGACUUCUGUGAGAAGUUUAAAGCGCUUGGAAAACCUCCAACCGUUAUUCUGGUUACAACUGUGAAUCCAAAACGUUUUGGAGGUUAGUAUUACCUAAACUUGAUUGUGGUUUAUUGAUGUUAGUAGGAGGCGUGUGGAACAUUGGUUAUUUGCUAAAUUUAUUUUUGUUUGGUAUGGAACAUUGGUCAUAUUGCAGGUGCCUUAACUCUGUCAUCUCUAUCCUCAUCGCGUGUGUUUUUUGAUAUGGAUGUUCAAGCAACCCGGGAAUAUCUGGCUUGGUAUGUGUUCAUUUAUUGAUUUGGAACAUCUAUUCCAAUUCACCGAGCGAUUAACUUUUAAAUUUUUUUUGUUUCUGAACAUUUACACAGGUUUGAAUCGAACACAGAAGUUGCCAAUAGGGUGUAUGCUGAGAUUGUCACCAAAGCCGAGACGGCUACUAUAGGGGAGCUGUUAUCUUACAUGAUGCAGGAAGAGGCAAAGGUACAAUAUUUGAUUCUUUAGUCCAUACGUUGCGCUAGCUUUAGUUAUUUACGAUCUUCUCUGAUAUAAUUCGCAGGUAGCUUGGUUUGAGUGCACAGCCACUAUUGAUGAUGUUGUGCGUGAUUCGGCAUGGUAUUAUAUUGCUUGUGGUGGGUGCAAGACUAAAGCAACCAAAGGGCCUACCACGCUUAUGUGUAAGAAGUGUGGAAAGACUGAGAUUGUCGGCACUCCAGAGUAAGAUUUGUAUUCAUAUUUUUUUUUUGUGUCAGAUACACUUUCAGCAUCCAUUAAUAAUGUUCUUAUGUCAUAGGUAUCUCACGAAGAUCUCUGUCUAUGACAACAAUGAUCACGCAAGCUUCGUGCUUCUCGGUGAUGCUAGGCGUGAGUUGACUGGGAUGAAAGCCUCGGAUUUGGUUGAGAGCUACUUUGAGGUAAUUACAUACCUAUCCAUCAUUUAGGUUUAGAAUGUAUUCUUAUACAUGAUUGGCUAUGUAUUAGGCCAAUGAAAACGUCGGAGAUGAUCAUGUCGUCCCGGUGCCACAGUCUCUUACUGAUUCCAUUGGACAGUCUCGCACGUUUAUUAUCAAGGUAUCAAAACACAACCUGGAUGGCAAGACCCAGACUUUGACUGUCACCAAAGUUCUCCCUUUAGAAGUUCCAGCACUUGAAGGCGACAUAGAUGAAGGCGUGGAAGAGGAGCCUGUUGAUGAAAAGGAUGGAGCUGCAGAUGGGAAUGUGAAAAGGAUAUCUGAUGGGAUUGAGUCGGGAGAGACCAAGCGUGCCAAAUGUGACUAAUAAGUUUCUGUUACUGUUUUCUUUGUUUUAAUAAAGACUAUGCUUUGUUUUUUCAUCUUCAGACUUUGCUUUUGUGUCAUUUGAACAAUCUUGGUGUUUGAUAAAGACUAUGCUUUGUUUUAUUCCUUAUUGCUUAAUACUUGGCUAAGGCUAGAAGUAGCUGAUUGAUACCUUUGAAUGCUUGGAUAAUAUAUUUACGUAUGCAUGCAGGUAUUACUUAGUAUAUUAGCAUCUACGUUAAUCAUAUAGUCAUUUUUAUAUGAAGCAUCUACUUUGUUUUUUUAAACUACAUCACUUGGUUAAUAUCAAACCAAUUGCGAAAACCUAUUCAAAAAGAAGUUGCACGAAUAAAUUUGUGAUUUCCUUAAUAUACCAUGUGGCUUGAAAAUGUGAUAUUAUAUGAUCACUUAACAUUGCUUGAAAUUAAUUUCUUUGAAACAUUUGAUUAAGAAAGAUAAUCAAUAUAAAAUAUAUGUUUUAUUGAAAUGUAUCUAUACUAUUAAAACUGCAACACCAAACAAAUAAAUAUCUUAACUCUUUCUAGAAGCCAAAAUGGAAAUUUGCUGAAACAUAAAAAAAAUAAAUAUCUUAACUCUUUCAUGAAUAUUUUUCGAAUUAUUUUGAAUUUGUUUCUUUAUAUUUUUUAAAUUGAAACUAUUUUUAUUUUAAAUUUGAAAGGAUUUCGAUUUUUUAUAACAUAUAAUUUGAAAGCUAUAUAAAACUUAAAACAUAUAAUUUCAAUUUUCAGUUUUCAACUACUAUACGUAAAAAAAUAUGAUUACGUACUCUUUUUUUGAAAAGAGGGUUUUAUAUUUUAAGUAAUUUAUUAGAGUACUUUUUAUUUUCGUGAAUUUAUUCGAGAUGAUAUCCCAAUCUUUUAAAAUAAGAGAAUUUAUGUUCUAUACAUAAUUAUAUUAUUUUAGAUUUUUUUCAUAUUUUAUUAGUUAAUUGUGUUACAUAUAAUAGAAAUACUUAAUUCAAACUAAAAUAUAUUUUAAAAAACAAAUUUUAAAAUUAGUUAAGUUAAGUUAAAAAUGAUAAAUAUAACAAAUUUAAAUAUAUUAUCCGCGCGUAGCGCGGAGAAAGGAUCUAGUGUCUAUAACAAAUCGACUGUUCAGUUGAUUUCCACUAUGAUGAGUGGUUUAUUUUGCAAAGCUUAACAAUAAUAAAUAUUUUGAUACUUAUAACGGGCUUGGGCUUUGGUCGGCAAGCGUAUUUGUAAUGUUCAUCCAUAGCUGUCUAUGUGAUGGAAUCUUCCAAUACUGAGGUUUCUCAAAUCUUGCUGAAGACGACAAAGCUGACAACAAUCUUAUGAUCCUUUUAGAAUGUGGAGUCGGAGGCGUAGAGGAGCUGGGUUAGCACAUGUAUUGUAAUAAGGAUCUAAUCUAAUAUAAGAACUAUAUAUUUUGAUUAGGAUAAGAGAAUAUACAAAAUAUGUGUUGUACUUUUUCCUAUAUAUAUAUAUAUAUUUAACCGUGUGAAUUAAUAAUACAUGCAUAGUUAUUCAUUUCCUUCUUAUACAUACAUACCAUAUACAUUUGCAAAAAAAAAACAUCUAUUGACGCAUAUCAAACAUCAAGUUAUUCACUGUUACAUUAAAUGUUAAAUUCAGGCUUUUCAUGGGUUUCAACUUAAAAACAAUUGGAUUGACCCUAAACAUUUAUAUAUUACUCAUGGCCUAGACAAACUCUUGAUGUGGGAGCUUAUACUCUCCACAUAUUACUCAUGGCCUAGACAAACUCUUGAUGUGGGAGCUUAUGCUCUCCACACCCUCUCUCGAGAUGAUGGUUCUUAUAACCAUUAAUCUCGACAAUAUCCCAGACUAAGAUUUAGUUCAGUCCGAACUCCGGACAAUUCGGGUCAAGGUCGGUUUUAGGAUCAAUCGGGCCUCUUUUGAUUGGCUUGAUCGAUUUUAAUUCAGUUGGGCAUGGUGUGUUCGGACUCUUAAAUUCAGGUUUAUCGUCGGUUUCCAAUUUAAAACCAAUUACUUAUAAUUAAAUUGACCUUAAACCUUUAUAUAUUACUCAUAUCCUAGUCAAAUUCCCGAUGUGUGAGCUUAUAUUAUCCACAUUAAUGUGCCAUUCUUUCGACGAUGGUGUUGAGAACUUCUUUUCACAAUAACUCAUCUGCAGCUGGGACUCCAUAACGUUUAUAUGGUGUGGAGUUGGCUGCACACUUUUUUAAGAGGGUUGGACUCCUCUUGUCACUAAUCAUCUUAUCGUAUCUUGAACGAUCCAGACCUGAUCCCACCUGUAUGUUUGCAUCGUGUUGCGUUUUGAUCAUCCAAUAAAGGCGGCUUUCGAACUGAAUUAACUAAAUCGUGUCGGAGUAUAAUUUUGUGAAAUUCUUAUGUUAUGAAUAUCAGUUGGAGUUGCAUUCACUCAUUAUAAUGUACUAGGUAAUUAUCCGCGCUACGCUGCGAAAUUUUUUUAUUUUUUAUUUUAUUGUUUAUAAAAUAUUUUCAUUUUAUAAAUGAAUAAUUAUAUUAAUAUAAGUUUUGUAUCAAAAUAUUUAUAAUCUAGACAUAUAUUGUAUUUUUUAUAUUAUGGUUAUUGUAUAAUAAUUAUUUAUUUGAUAUUAAACUUUAAAAGAUUAACUUCCAAGUUAAGUUUUUCGCACCUUUGUUCUCAAGUUGGUGGUGUAAAAUCUCUUUUUGUUUUUUGGGUUUUAGGUUCCAGUUUAUGGUCUAAAAGACUAUAAUACAAUCAUCUUUCCAUUCCAUAAAAGUAUUUCAUAUUUUUAUUUUUGUUUCAAUAUAAAUAUCAGUUUUACAUUUUAUAUAUUAAAAACUCAGUUUAAUCCUGAUUUUUACCUUUUGUAUCGAUCAAAUAAAAAAAUAAUGUGGAGUUCUAAUUAAAAAUAAUAUAGAGAACUUAAGUAUUUUCUUAAUAUUUUUUUUGACAGCCGCCUUAUAACCAUACUUAUGUAUUUGAUCCUUAUUUUGAUGUCGUAUUCUAUCAUUCUUACUAAAUGAUAUACGCUAAAUUUUUUUUACAUCACUUUUAUAUUUAUACUUUAUUAUUCAUUUAUUUUUCAAUUGAGUUUAAGGUUAAGGAUAGAAGUCCAAUUCAUUUCUUUUCCUACGCUUUUCUGGUUCACCAAAUUUAAAAUUCAACAUUGUAGUAAAUGUCCUUCACUUCACUUCAAAUUUAAAAUUCAGUAUUGUAGUAAAAUAAUUAGCCUUUGUUAAAAUAAUAUAUUUUGUAAAAUGAUUUCGGUAAAUAUUCCAUCACCAAUAUUAGUAUUGGCUUUUGAAAAUAUUUUACAUAGAAUAUAUUAUGUGAUAUUUUUGAUAAAAUUCGUAACAUAAAUGUCUGUGCAUUCUUUAUUUGUUGAUGUAGUUGCUCUUUCAUUUUGGUGAACUUGUCUACCAACUUUGAGAAUGAGACCAACCAUUUGCAUCAUAAUUAGACCAGAGCUAGUAUGAUCGACUCUUCUUAGCAGUUAGAACUAAAACUAGUAUGAUCGAUUCUUCUUAGCAGUUAGAACCAAAGCUACUAUGAUCGCCUCUUCUUGAGUUUCAAAAAGAAUUAUUCUUGAGGAAAUCUCAGCUUAGUUUGAGCUUAACAACUCAUCAAAUAAUCUUAUUGUCCGUUUGAUUGUUUGUGGCUUCUUCACCCGAUGGAAUUAUGGAUUGUGAAUUUGUGGUCUUCUUCAUGUUUGAAUGUUACUUAUGAUCCCUAAUAGUGUCAUGUUAUAUGGUCUUCGAUUUCACCAAUUUAGUAAUAAAUUGUAAUAAUCUGGUUUACUAUAAUCUGUUUGGUGUCUAAUUAUAUUUAUUUUUAUCAAAUCAAAACUCAGUUAUUUUAUUCACUUUAACCUAACCCGUAUAUUUCUAUAACCAUAUAUAUCUCCUUCUACCUAAAGCCAAGUUGUCAUCUUCUUUGUAUAGUAAACACUGAUGUUUCUCACCAGCACUCCUUUUUCUGAUCUUCUCUUCUUCCCCUACUUCAGACUUCGUUUGGUUAUUGGUUCGUCCCUCAAAUCCUCCUCUUCGUUCAUGUAUGCGAAAAAGACGUGUUCGUCUCCGAUCGUCACCACCACUGUUGUACAUAGAGUGAUAGAAUCAUCUCAUCUUUACUCUUGUUGGUAUUAUGUAGCGGAACCGAGACUUGGAGGAGAGCGACAUCGGGGCUGCCGCUCUUCACCAUCACUAGACGCUGGAAUAUUCACAAUCCACCGGAGAUAUGCACCGUUACCAUAAACCCUCGAACUCCCACCCAAAACCCUCUACACUUGCUCACAGAUCUCUUCGCUCUCCGAGAAAGAAGAUGGAGGAGGAUCAUGUUUUCUCAUCUGUAAUAUAACAUGAUUUUAAUGGUAUUUAGGAUAUCAUUUUGCUCAUUCUAAUCAUUCUAGGUGGCAUUUAGGUCUUUAUAUUUCAUUUUCAUACAUAAUUGCAUUUGAUAGGGUUUGGAAUGCACAUUUGAAAUUUUAUGGCGAAAUCAUGGGUUAAAUUUCACAUUAUGGAAGUUUUGGGCCCACUGUGAUGUUAACAAGAGUCCAGGGACCAACGCUGCAAAUUUACAAUUCUCGGUUGGGUUAAAUUGCACAAUUGAAAGUGCAGAGGUCUUGGGCCCAAUGUGUUGUUAACAAGAGUUCAAGGACCAACGCUGCAAAUUCACAAUUCUCGGUUGGGUUAAAUUGCACAAUCGGAAGUACAGAGGUUGAUUUGAGAGGGGUGUGUCUGCAUUGGGGUCAAAUCGUGAAUUGUCGAAAACGUUAAGGACCAUAUGUGCAAAACAGCUAAAUAUCACCAUUGUCGUUCUUCUUCACUUUAAUCCCGACGAUUCCGGCGGUUACCACGGCUGAUUCCGACAAUGGCGAUGGCUGAGAGUACAACGAAGUAGGCGACUUGGAUGAGAGACCCAUUGGAGGAUCUGUCGAGCUUCUCGACCGGAAGCUCAGCCACAACAGAGAUGAUAAUCGGAGUUGCAGAGGACGAGUCCGGUGCUGCUGGCUGGAACACGAACUGAACCAUCACCAUGAGCCAAGCCUGAGACGAAGAAGAAGAAUAUGGAGUUCACGAUUCAGGCCCGAGACACACACGACGAACUGCGACGGAGAAGAGGAAGCUCGAGACAGAGGUGAAUCAUGAGGAGAUGAAGCUGGCCACAAGGCGGGAAGAGAUGAGUCGAGCUAUGGACUCCGGUGACAGAAAAGGUGAACUGCAGUGAAGAUGAAUCGUGGCGGAAAGUUUGAAACAAUCGAAGGAUACGAUUUCAACGGAGAAGAAGAAUUGACGUGUACAAACAAAAUAAGUUGAUUGGUUCUUCAAGUUUUGUCAGUUUAUGACAUGUCAAUCCUUCAGUUAUUUUAAAAGCUGGGAUGUCAUGUUCUGGAGAGAACCUUGCUCCAUUAUUGUGUUGAUUUUUGUUUGGCUUUUAUAAAAAAAGAUUCCAGCCCCCAAGUUAGUUAAUUAAAUAUCAAUUCUCUUAUGGGUUUCAACGUACACUUCACAUUUGCCAAAAGUUAGAGCUUCAUGUGUUAAGUGUAGAGAUGUGUUUGCUGGAUAUUAUAGCAUCUGAAUCCGUCACUACUUUUGGAUACUGUGGUAGAAGAAUCAUCAUUUAAAAGAAAAAUAAACAUUAAUAGAUUGAAAAAUUGCAAGUUUCAUACACAUAAAAGCAUGUAAACUCAACAUCAUUUAAUGUUAUCUUUUCAAAACUAUAUUAUUAUCUUUGAAUCUACCAUAUGCUUGGAUAAUACAUAUAUACUAAAAAAUAUUCUUCUGUUUUAGAAAGUUAAUAUUCUAAAAAAUUAUUUCCGAAAAAAUACAUUUUCACAUUUUCUAUGUAUUUCUUUAUUAGGUAAUAGUGAUAAAUUAUAAAUUUUAAAAUUAAUUAGACUUAUUGAAUUUUUAUUGGUUUAAAUUAUAAGAAAUAAAUAAACACAAAGUAACAUAUUUAUAAUUAAAAUUAAAAAUGGUUUUUUUUUAAGAAAGAGAGACAGUGCAUUUUUACAAUGAUUUCCACAUUUGGCUUGAACUGUAGAGACAUUGGGAAUUAGAGUUACUCUACCAUUGAAUACCUAAGUGUCAGCACAUUUUAUAUAUUUUCAACCAGUAUCUAAUAUAUUAAAAUAGAAGUCAUGACUUUUUUUCAUGUGUGAUUUUUUUAGUUUGGACCAUUCCUAGAAAAUAUCAUAUUUUACAUAAGUUCAUUAUUAUUUUUUUAAUAUCUUUAUCUUUUCAUUUGAAAUACAAAUGAAUAUAUUUAAAAUGUUCUAACAAAAUAUUUUUAAAAUCUUCUUAGAAUCUUUUUAAAUUUACUUUCGAAAAUUAGUUAGUUUUAAUUUAAAUUGUCAUCAAAUAUAAUUAGAAAUAAAAAUUGAAUAUAGUUUUGGUUUAUAAACGAAAAUUUAAAUAAAAUGAAAUUAAUUAAUUUCAAAAAUACAUUUACUAAUAAUUUUUAAAGAUUUUGUUAGAAAUAAAUAUUUAUUUCUAUUAUAAUUUUUCAAAUUUGUUUUCUAAUAAAAUAAAAAUCAUGAUUUUUUGAUGAGUGAUAUUUUUAUUUGGACCAUCAUUUAAAUUUUCUAUUAAAUGUAUAUCACUAAUGCUAAUAUAUAUAAUAUUUUUAACUAAUUUAAUCAUAAUAUAUUUUAUAUCUUUUAAUUUUUUUUAAAAAAAAUUAAAAUUCUAACAAAUCUCUUGAAAAAGAUUAUAAUAAUAUCUUAAUUGUUAUAAAUUGAAUAUAAAUAUUUUCAACUAAUUUUGUAAUUAGUAAUGAAAUGUUACUAAAAGAGUAAAAUUAUAUCCUAUUUUAUUGAUUUUAUAAUAAUAUCUAUCAUUUUAAAAUAAAAACGUUGUAUUGAAAAAAAUAUGAUAAAAUUAUUUUAAAUUGAUAAGUUAACAUAUUUUAUUUUCAUAAAUAUUAACUAUUUAUGCUAAAAAUAUAAUAUGUUGGUAGAACAAGUUAAUAUUAGUAAAGUAUAUAAUACAUGUAUAAAAAUUUAUUUUAUCUUAAACUUUUUAAUAUAUAGUAAUUUAUUAUAUAAAAUUAAUAAACAUUAAAAAAUUCUAAAAAAAAUCUAGCAAUUUGAAUUACGGAUCAUAAUUAUAAUAAAUUAAAUACAAAUUUUGUUUACAUAUAUGUUGUUUCAUGCAUUAAAAAAUUUAAUUUAGUAAUCAAACGCAAAUUCAAUAGGACAAAUAUAUAAUAAGCAACAUAUAUAUGUGAUGAUUUUAAUUUACAGCAUGAAAACUAUAAAAUUAUUAUAUUUGGCAUAAUUAUACAAACAUUUAAAUAUGUGAGUAACAUUAAAAAUAUAUACACGCACGGUUGUGCGGGUGAAAAUCUAGUUCUAAAUUACGCAAUAAGUAUAAUGUAUAUACACCAAACAAUUGGAAGAAGCCGUAGUUUUGUUAUAACAUGCGAUGAUAUAGAUAAUUAAGAAAAAAAUAUGCGUUUAAUGAUGUUGAGGUGGGCAUCUAGGCAGAUCUUAAACAGUCUUUUUCAAAAAAGAAAUUCCACUAGGAGUAGUAGAUAAUAUAUAUUAUCAUGUUUUCUUGAAAAAUAUGGCAGAGUUUAUUUAUUUUAAAUAAUUUAAAAUGUAAGAAAUUUAAUACAGUUUUUAACGUUCUCCAGAAUACGCUCCUGGCUUUGCUCCGAAGGAUUAAUUGCAGAAUUUCACGUGAGCUUGUUUCAUCAAUAAGCAGGGACUCAGUGUUCCUCUCUUAAGAAAACAUCUAGAUCAGACUGUAUACUAUCUUAGUCUACAAUAAAAGCUAGUUGACUAAAAGUUAUUCGGUCAUAAUAGUUGACAUCUAGAUCUAUGCAGCACAAUUUAAGUUUAUUAAUUAUUAUACAUUAAUAGCAUUUGGAAUACAAUAUAAGUGCAUUUCUUAAACUUCUAGUCAGACGCUAUGUUACAUAGAAACGGAAACGGAUACGUGGAAGCGGAAGCGUAAGGAAGUGCAGAAGCGAGAUUUUUUAAAAUAUUAGGAAGCGGAUACGUGUUGGAAGCGUAUAUCCAUAUAUAAAUAUAUAUAUAUAUAUAUAAAGAUUUUUAAAUCAGAUAGUAUUAUCAGUUAUCGAAUCGUCUAUGAAAUAUUUUUUCUAAUUAUAAUAUCCUAAUAAAUGAUCGUUAAAAAUUGAUUUUCCACUAUAUAUCGCUAGUCGUUGCAGUGAGUGAAAAAAAACUAUGGUUAUAUAUUGACAAUAUUUAUAUAUUAAAAGAACUAUUAAACAAUUUCAAAGUAGUUUUCAUAUAUUAUACUAUCGAGUUCCAACUUCCAAGUACUAUGAAUUACGAAAUAGAAAAGACUACGACCAUCUCCAAUGGUUUACUCUAUUUUUCUUCUAAAAUAGAGUAACUCUAUUUUUCCUCUAAAAUAGAGUAACUCUAUAAUAGAGUUGGAUGUUGCUCUAAUAGUACUCUAUUUUAGAAUGAAAAAUAGAGUGAUGAACAAAAAAAAAAACUCUAUAUAUAGAAUAAAAAAUAGGUUUACACUAUUAUAGAGUAUAAAAUAGAGUACUAGUCGAGUAUUUUUACUUUAAAUUCUAUUUUAGAGGAAAAAAUAGAGUGGAGUUAGAGAUGCCCUAAACCACCGGAAACAUGGUCACCGUGGAUGUAAAUCUCAUAUAGUGGGGUGUGGUUCAUGAAACAUGGACUAUGCCUAUAAAACUUUGUAUAUGUUAAUGAAAUUUUUAUUAUAACGUAGACACAGAAAAUGUAAGGGCAAAGACUAACAGCCAACACCAAAAUGGCCAUAAAUCUUGGAGGAAAACGUGGUGAGUUCACGAUGCAUAUUUACUUUGGGCGUAUUUGGUUGUCUUUAUAUUAUCUGUAAAUACUACUUAAAAAGUAAAGAGAAUCAUUCCAACGACAAUAAUAUGAUUAGUCUACUUUGUUAGUGUGAUGAUAGAUGUUCACGUUAUCCGAUUUAAACAUCUUAACAAUUAUGGCUAAUAAUGGUGUUGUGCCUAUAGGGAGGCGUUAAUCAAAGCAUCCAAAGAUAGAUUUAACUUGAAAAUAAAAAUGAUUGAUAGGUAGGUCCAAUACUGAGCAUACCAUAUUUCCCAAAAUUAUGCAGGUGACACGAACAUGUAACAUGAGAUGUCGCUUUCCGGACAAAAAUAUAUCUCCCCCUGCGGUAAUAAUUUAAUUUACCCGUUCAUGAAUCUCCUAUAUAUUAUUUGAGAAGCAUUACAACUUUUUUUGUAGCCACGUGUCAUCACUAAAAUGAUUCUUAGAAUCCUUAGAGAAACAUGUUGGUCCAGCUAAAUAUAUAAUAAGCUUUUUAUUAAACCACAAUAAAUACAUUAUUAAUGUGAUUCAUUAUUUCCUUAAAUAAAAUUACGGAAUUGCCUAAUGUGGCUAAAGUAUAUAUGACAAUUAAUGAUUUUGAAUAAUAAAAAUUUGAUAAAAAUAAGUGUGUAUUAUAAUUAUAUUUGUUUAAUUUUAAGCUAUUAAAAUAAAUUAAACAAUCAUAGUAACCAUAUAAUAAAAAUUAAAAAAUUUCUUUAUAUAUUAUAUUUUGAAUUUUUAAAAAUGAGUAUAAAUUACUAAAACUGUUAAAAGUUUCAAAUUUUGUGAUCUAUGAUUUCAAAAUUUUGUUAUGACAUGAUACAAAUAAUUAAAAAUAAUAUAAGUUGAAAGUCUCAUUUAAUAAGUAUCAAAAAUAAAAGAUAUAUAAAUAUAUGUAUCAUUUUAAAUUAAACUAUAUGCCAUAUAAAAGUACAUAAAUAUUUUAAUUUUGAAAUUUACUUUGAGCAUUUUUUUGAUAAAAAUUUUGAAAAAAUAUUGACAACUUAAUUUUUUAAAAUAUUAUAAAUUACUUAAGCCAUUAAUCCCACAGUGAAAAUUUUGUUAUCACUAAUUUAGACUUUUUGCUAUAACAUAUACAAAUGAUAAAAAAAUAUGAGCAAAAAGCAUCAUCCAAUAAAAAUUAAUAUUAAAAUAUACCAUAUAAAUGUUACUAUCAAUUAAAUUUAAUUAUACAUCAUAUCAAAUAGAAAAAAUAUUUUUUUGAUUUAUAAAAUUUAUUUAUAUGUUCGCACCAAUUUAAUUAUAUAAGUAGUAAAUAAUGACUUUUUAAUUAUUCAAUAUAUAUUUUCAUAAUAUGUUAUAAAUAUAUAAUAUAUAAAAUAAUUUAUAUAUAUAAUGUUCAUUCCGCGCAAGGCGCGGAUCUUAACCUAGUAUUAUGAUUAUUGUGGGAAUGGGUGGGGUUGGACCUAUUCGUGAAUCGAGUAGACACAGUAAAAAUAAAUUCUCGCGACAAACGGCGGGAAAAAUAUCCAACCGUAAUUUGUUCAACUGUUUGCUCUUUGAAACAUUUUUGUUUAACUGUUUAGAGAAUUUUUUUUAUUAAUAAAUGACAGAUUCAAAUUUAAAUUUAGUGCUUAUUACGGCAUGAAUGACAAAUAUUAUAGAGUUAUUUAGGUUUUAAAAUAUAUUUUUUUCUAAAAUAAGAAAUGUUUUAUCCAAAUGUUUACAGUCUUGAUGAUUAUGAUAAACAAAUCUCAUUUUUAUUUUUUUGUUAUAUAAAAUAUGUUAAAAUUAAUUGAUAUAAUAACAAAAUACUAGGUAAUAAUCCGCGCUGUGUGUAGAAUGAAGUAGUUUAUUAUAUUAUUUAUUGUAUGUUGUACUAAAUGAUUUGAUGUACAGCUUUUUCUAGAGAUGAACGUUUGUAUAUCUAUUCAAAUUCAGUUGAUUUAUUCGGAUUUCAUUUUUUAGAGUUAGAAAUUUAAAUUAUAUUCGGAUAUUUACAAAUUUUGGUUUGGAUUUGGUUAAAAUAUAUUGAGGGUUCGGUUCAAAUUCGAGUUCGGGUAUCCAUUUUAAUUAUGUAUUUUUUAACAAAAAUCUAAAUAUACUUAAAUCUUAUAAACUCAAAAAUAAAAUAAUAUAAAACAUAAAAAAUUGCAUAAUGUAAGACUAAAUAUUUAAAUUUACAUAAAAAUUAGGUCAAUUUAAAUAUUUGGAUAGAGAACAAAUAAGCAUUUUCAAUAUUUUGAAUAUAUUAUGUUACUUUUAUUUAUUUACUUGUGACUAUGUUGAUAAUUUUUAGAUAUUUUAUAUUUUUGGAUGUCUAAUAGAUAUAAAUUGUUUAAAAUAAUUAAAAUAUUUAAGUAUAUAAUUGUGAUUUAGAUAUUUUGGGUAUCCAAAAUAUUUUAGUUUGGAUAAUAUUCGGAUCUAGUUAUCUGGAUACUAAACUUUUAGUUUGUGUACUUAAUCAGUUUUAGUUUGUUUUAGUAUUAUGUUAAAUAUACUUCGGUUUGGUUCUUUGGAUCCAACUAUUUUACUCAGAUUUACUUUAUUCUAAUAAUAUAAAGCAAACUAAAUAAAUGUAAAACAAAUAGUCCGAGCUUAUUUAACAUACAUAAUUAUUGGACCAUACUUUAAGAAUACCAAUAAAAAUGGUUGGUCGUGUCAAUAUUGUUGGGCAUGUUACAUAAAAAAAAUCUUUGUAAAUAUAAUAAAAUACGAUACAAUCGAGUGAAAGUGUUAGAGUUGUAUGAAAAAUAAUGUGAUCUCUUCAGUCGGCACCUGAAUUAUGUUUUUCAAUCGAUUUCAUGAACUUUUUUCUUUUAACGCUUUUCUGAUUUCUAAAUUUUUUAAAGCAAUUAGAUUAUGUUUCUAAUUCUUGUUCUGAUAUAAAAACUUUGUAAAUAUUUGGCUAAACUAAAGAUCCGACUUUGUGGUAUUUUUUUACCUCAAUUUAUUCAAUUUAUAACCAAUCACACUUAUUUAUUGCAUAUUUUUUUACGAAACUUCAACCUUGACUAAGCUCGGCAUGAUACGAAACUUUCAAUUUCUAAAAGCGUUCUCAUUCCAGUAUUUUAGUUGAUGUGAAUUUUAAUGUUUUUGUAAUUUUUUUUCAAAAAUUAUAUUAUUCAGUAGUUGGAAGUAAAAAUGUUAAAAAUGCUGGAAGUAAAAAUGAACUGAUUAAAAAAACUUAGUGUGAACAUAUUAAAUUAUCUGCGAUAGAGUUAAAAAAUUAGUAUGUGAACGCCUUAAUUGUUAAGUGAUUGUGAGGCCGACACGUCAUCAUACUCAAAUUGAAAUCGAUGUGAGGCGGACACGUGUCCAAUGUAGUGUAAAUCAUUAAAUGACAAUACUUCUCUUCUAAUGUAUAGGAGAUAUGAGUAAUUUGAAAUCUUAACUCAUUUGCACUGAUAUCUAUUAUAAUUUACAUUUAUAACAAUUAACUAAAUACUUUCGCUAAAUUUUCAUUAAUUUCUAAUAUAUGUAAAGUAUAAAAAUAUGUUUUUAAACUCCAAAACAUAAAUAACUUAUCCAAAUUAUUUUUAAAACAAAUGUAAGAAUUAUACAUUUCAUUCUUAUAAUUAGAUACAUUGUAUUAAUGAAUUAUAUAUAUUAUCUUACUUAUUAUUUAUAUAUUAUUAGUGAUUACUAGACUUAUAUAACAAACUUUGAUAUUUUAUAAAUAUCUAGUUUGUUAAUUUAUUAUUUAAUCGUACGAAAGUUUUUAUAAAUUGCCCCAAAACUUGAAUUUGAAUGAAAAUAAAUACUCCAAAUUUAACCAAAUACAAAAAUAACUUAAAAUUCUAGUGAAAUUACAGUUAUCUUUUAGGAUUAAACAAAAAAAAAAACUGUGGAUAUUUUUGCGGUUAUAACCUUGAAAGUUCUUCUUGUGACAAUGAAGUUUUCUACGAGAAGGCUUCUCGAAAAGUCUACUCAUAUAUUUAAUAUUAAUAUUAAUUUAUUAAAUUCUGAAUAAAUAUUUUGAUGGAAAAUUAAUUGAAACCAUGUAAAUAUAAACAAUUUUAAAUUAUGAAUUUUAAUUUUAAAAAUUGUUUUUUUUUCAAAUAGAGGAGUGAAUAUAUAUUUUAAAUUAUGAAUGUCCAUUGGUUAAAGUUUGGUAACAUAUGUUUAAGUAUUGUUAUAUUUUUAGAAUUAGAUUUUGGAAUCUUAAUAUAUUUUUUGAAAUUGAAAUUUAACAUAUACAAUUUUAUUUUGUAUAUAUUAAAAAUUGUAUAUGUUUAUGUUAUGUGUAAAUGAAGUUUUUAUUGCUAUUUAAAUAAACUAUUUGAUUUAAGGGUUUAGGGAUAGAAAACUUCUUAAGAAGUCAGUUAAUUAUGCACUAACAGAUUUCUUUUGAAAUUAAAGAAGUCUUCUGAAACACCAUAUAUAAUUUUAUUUUGUAUAUAUUAAACAUUUUAUAUGUUUAUGUUAUGUUAAAUGAAGUUUUUAUUGCUAUUUAAUAAACUAUUUGAUUUAAGGGUUUAGGGGAUAGAAAACUUCUUAAGAAGUUAGUAAGUUUUGCACCAACAGAUUUCUUUAGAAACAUCAUGUAAAUAUGAGAUUAGGAGACUUCUUCUGAAAGAUGCUAAACCGUAAUGCACUAUUAGACUUCUUGAGAAGUCUACUAAACUUUAAUGUACUAUCAUAGUUUUUGAGGGUUUUUCUACACCAAAUUUUUCUCACACAAUUUAAGCUUUGUCUCUUUAAAUAAAAAAAAUUAAACAUUUUUAUAUUUAUCAUAAAUUGUUGCAACAAAAAUGUAAUGUUUCUUUCUCUAAAACUAUAUUACAUCUCUCUAAUCUUUUUGAACUUGAAAACAGUAAACUUUAUAUCAAUUUCUCAUCUUUUUGUCCAUAUCUUUCUCACCACUUUAUCUUUUCUUUGCGGGUUAUUUAUUCCAUGGCUUUCAUAUUCCCCUUUUAAAAAUGUAGAUCUAUAAAUUUUAGAUAUAUAUUUUUUUAUGUUUUAGUGUGUUAGAUCCUAAUAAAACUAUAAAUUCACCCAAAUGCGAUUGUUUAUUUACUAUUAAAGCACUAACAUUUGUUUUUUUUAAGUUUUACUAUGUUUUGAAUAUAUUUUUAACGUUUUUAGAAAUGCAUGGUUUUAGAUCUAUGGAAAAUAAUCAAACUUCAGACUUCAUCAGAAGAUUUCAUUAGAAAUCUGCUAGACUUUAAUGCACUAACAGAAUCAUCGAGAAGUUUUCUAUGCAAACUCUCAAAAUUGGUAAACUUUAAUUUUUCACUAAAUAUUUUUGUGUGUUAAAUCUAAAUAAAUUUAUAAAUUUAAUUUAAUGUGAUUUUUUUCUUAUUAUUUUAGCUUUAAAUUUUAUUUUUGUGAUUUAUCUUCUCUGUGGAAAAAUGAGAUAUAAUUUUUGUUCUCAUUAGCAUAAACAGUCUCGAUUAAGACUCUGCUAACCAAACAAGAGAUUUUAUGUCAUUAAAGACUAAAUAAGGUGGUAGACUACGAACACCACGUAUAAGAGUGUUUGCCCUUUUUUUUAGUCUCGGGAACGUGGAGAAUCUCAACUGAUGUGAAGCUGUCCUUCAGUAGUUGGAUUCCUUUCAGGUAUGUUGUAAACACAUGUCAUUCUUAUGAUUCUGAAACCAUAUUAACCAAUUGAAAACAAUAUUUUGCAAACAUGACAUGAAAUUGCUUAAUAUAUAUUAUGUUGCUAUAUAUGUAAGAUAUACAUUUUCUAAAUACAAUUUUUUAAAAUUUAAUAUAUUUAUUUUUUUAAAACAAAAUAAAAAAUAUAAAGUAUUAUUUUGUUAUUAUUUUAGUAUAUUUCAAAGCUAACAUAUGCAUUGACAAAAAAAACAGAUCUGAUUUUUUUUUUAAUUUCAUACCUAGAUCCAUUGAGAGUGCGCAUUUAGCUUCUUUAAGCUCUUAGAACUUCUGAAUGAAGGAUAUACUCUCAUUAUGGACCAAAUAUUAUCAAAUUUGAGUAAUUUUAAUAAAAAAAUAAAAUCUUGAAAUUCAAAAUUUUGAGUUUUAAGGACAAAAUGAUAUGCAAAUAAAAUAUUUAUAUAUGUAAGAAUUGAGAUAAGAAGAUGUAUAAAUUGUUUUUUUUUGUACAUGUAGAGAUCUUUUCGGUUAUUAUAGUCAAAAUAAAAAUUUAUAGAGAUAAAAUAUAUAAUGUUUAAAAUAAAAUAAUUUUUAUUUGGUGUGAUUCACAUUUAUUUUAUUUUAUUUUGAACAAAAUAAAUUAAACCACAUCUUUUAAUAUAUCUAUAAUUUUAAUAUCUAAGAAUUGAUGUAUUAAACUUUGUAUUUUGUUCCAUCUUUUUAUUAAGCUGUGUAUUUUUUAGAUCAAGUAACUUAGAUUUGAAAUCAAACAUUUCUUAUAAUUGUAGAUUGAAACGAUUCUAAAUAGCAUUCAAAGCAAUAUUAGCCAAUAAACAGUAUCAAAUUUAGACUUUAGAAACAGUGACAUAAAGAAAAAGUAAAAUAUCUUUUUACACAGAAAUAAAUCGAGCGGCGCAUAUGAAUACGAUGGAUCAUUUGGUUUAAAGAAAUUCCUACUUGUUUUGCAUUUCCAAACCGGAUAAUAAUCAGAGAAAUUGAAUAUUAACUAUUAAGAUCAUAAACUAAAUAGUUGGCAUCAUUAUAAUUUGUUAUUUUUUUGUCAUCAACUUAAAUAGACUCGAUUAAAACUCUUCUAACCAAGAAAUAGACUUAAUUUCAUUUUCUAAUUUUUUCAAUAUCCAUUUACUAGUUAUCCCAAAUAUCACAACAUAUAUAUAUAUAAAGGUAAAUCUUAAAUAAUAACUGUUUGAGAACCUUAAAUAAUAAUUAUGAAAAUUAUUCAUUUAUCAAUUAUCCAAAAUAGCACGACAAAUAAAUAUAUACUUCAUAGAGUCGGUACAAUAUUAUUGUUAUAUAGUAUUAAAACAGAUACUAGUUAACUAAUGACUCAGCUAAAAAAUUUCCUAUAUAUUAAAAAAAAAACAUUACAACAUUUGAAGUAGCCACAUAUCAUUACCACAACGAUUUUUGUAAUUCUUAAAGAAAAAGAUUGGACCAUCUAAAUAUAUAAUAAUUUUUUUAUUAAACUAAUCAUAAAUUAAUUAUUAAUGUUUUUCAUGAUUUACUUAAAUAAAAAUUACAGAAUUCCUUAAUGUAGUUAAAAUAUAUGUGAUAAUUAGUGAUUUGAAGAAUAAAAAUUUGAUAAAAAAAAUUAUUGUAUCCUUUAUCGUUUUUUAAUUUUAACUUAUUAAAAUAAAUUAAACAACCACACUAGCUUUGUAGUUUAAAUUUAAAUUUUUCCAUACAUGUUAUAUUUUUAAUUUUUAAAGACGACUAUAAUUAUUAAAACUAUUAAAAGUCUCACAUUAAAAAAAUUGUGAUCCAUUGUUUAAAAUUUAUGUCAUGACAAGAUACAAAUGAUUACAAAAUCAUAUAAGUAAGAAGUCUCAUUUAACAAAUAUUAAGUUGAUAUAUUAAUAUCGUUUAAGUUAAACUAUGUACUACCAUAUAAAGAUACAAAAAUAUUUUAAUUCUAAAAUUUGCUUUGAACAAUUUAUGUUUUGAUAAAGCUUUGAACAAAUAUUGACAAAUUAAUAUUUAAAUUUUAAUCUUUGCAUGCAUUGUACUUUUCGAAAAAAAUUAUAAAUUACUAAACUAUUAAACAUUUCACAAUGAAAAUUUUGUUAUUCGUGAUUCAAAAUUUUUGGUAUAAAAGAUACAAAUGAUUAAAAAACAAUAUGAAUAUAAUGUAUUAUUAAAUAGAUAUCUUUUUUUGUCGACAUUAUUUAUUAGAUAUCAUUAUUACAAAUAGACUAUAUAUAUGUGAAUAUCAUUUAAAUUAAUUAUAUACCAUAUAAAAUAGAAAAAAAUGUUUACUUGGUUUAAUAAAAUUUAUUUAUGUGUUCACACCAAUUUAAUUAUAUACAUAAUAGUCACUAAAUUUUUAAUUAUUUAAUUUAUUUUCAUUAAUGCAUUAUAAAUAAAAUAAUAUAUAAUAUAAUAAAAUAAUUUAUAUAUAAUGUUUAUUCUGCGCAAGGGUGGGUCUUAACCUAGUUACUAAAAAUAUGAUAAAUAAUAAAAAUAACCUAAAAUUAUGGAUUAGAUAAAAGUAAGCAAAAUCAAUUUUCAAAUAAUAUUAUAGAUAGAUACAAUUGAGUUCUAUUUAAAGAUUAUAAAAGUUGUUUAUCAAGUGAUAAAAUCUGCUUGUUCAUAUGGUAAAUGGAUUGUAAAACGAGAAUUCAGCCAAAAAAACACGAACUUUACACGAAUCGCCAAAAAAAUUCUGUAUUCGAGUCUGGCCAAACAAAUAUUGUACUUUUAUUGACUUUUUAAGUUUAUUAAGCAACUUAAGAUUGACUGGCCAUUUUAGCACACCGUGAACCCACAGUUAAAACACUGUUAAAUGUUGGCGUUAAGCGAAACGAUAUCGUUUUCAAAUGAGAUGAAACGACGUCGUUUCACAUGAUUUGAAAAUAAAAAGAAAUACACCCCUGGAUUCAAACUCGGGUUGAUUAGGACUAAUGGCAAGGUAUUUUAUCACUGGAUUAGUGGCACUUUCAAUUGAGUUACUAACACAUUUAGUUUUAUUUGGUACUGAUUGAAUGUAAAACAAUUCUCUAAAAACUUUAUAAAAUUAAUUUUGAAAUUAAAAUUAAAAGUAAAAUUUUAUUUGUUCUUUAAAAAAUCAAAAAUCUUCCAAAAAUUUCAUUUUUUUUUAAAUUCCAAAAAAAUUAAAAAAAUACCCACAUAUUACAAAAAAAACCCACAAAUUUAAAUUCCAAUUCCAAAAAAUUUAAAAAUUCAAAGAAAAUGAAAAAAAAUUAAAAUUACAAUUAUCAGCUAAAAAUUAAAAUCGCACUCAUAAUAGGUACAAUAUUUAUUUUAAGCAUUUUAAUUUAAUUUUAAUAUGUGGGUAUCUUUUUAUGUGUGUAUAAUUAAUUUCAAUUUUUAGCAAUUGUUUCAAAAAAAAUUGAAAAUUUUGGAAGAUUUUUGAUUUUUUUAAAGAAAAAAUAAAAAAUUUAUUUUACAUUUUUAUUUCAAAACUAAUUUUAGAAUUUUUUUUUUUUCAAUUUUUUGGAAUUUUAAAGAUCUUUUAAAGUUAAUAAAUUUUUUUUUAUAUUCAUUCAGUACCAAAUAAAAUUAAAUGUGUUAGUAACUCCAUUGAAAGUGUCACUAGCCGAGUGAUAAAAUACCUUUCAAUUUCUCCCAACCAACGUGAGUUCAAAUCCAAUUGUCUAUUUCUUUUUAUUUCACUUAAUGCUAACAAUAAACGAUGUCAAAUUUUUCUGGUCAAUUUGCUGACGGUGUGCUAAAUUGGCAAGUCAACGAAAACAUUGUUAAUUAAUUCUAAAGUUAAUGAAAAUUUUGUGUUUUUUUGGUCAGUUCAAAAAUUCAUGUUUUUUUUGAUAAUUCCUGCAAAGUUCGUACUUUUUUUGGCCGAAUUCUCAUUGUAAAACAAUUAUUUUUAGGCGGUUUGUAACCUUGUCUCAAUCCUAAACUAUAAGAGAGGGAAGUUUUUUGAUUAAAAUUUAAAAAAAAGAGAGGGAAGCUUUUCUACUUACUAUUCGUAACACUAACAGAAAAAAAAACUUAAUGACUUUCAUUUAUUGUUUACAAAAAAGGACUUAUUUCGUGAGACACCUAGCCUUGUCCUAUAAAUACACCCAUACGAUACUAUCAUCUCAUAUCAGUAACCAAAAAACAAAACUAAAACAUGGGGUUCUUGGGUAAGAGUGUAUUGGUGAGUCUCAUUGCACUUUGGUGCUUCACUUCCUCUGCCUUCACUGAAGAAGUGAACCAUGUGACUCAAACACCUUCCUCUGCUCCUGCUCCGGCUCCUUACCACCACGGCCACCACCACCCACACCCUCCCCAUCCCCACCAUCCUCACCCGCACCCUCCGGCAAAAGCCCCUGUUAAGCCACCGGUUUCUCCACCAGCUAAACCUCCGGUUAAGCCUCCAGUUUACCCUCCAGCCAAAGCCCCAGUCAAGCCCCCAACUAAGCCCCCUGUUAAACCACCAGUUUCUCCACCAGCCAAACCUCCGGUUAAGCCCCCGGUUUACCCUCCGACCAAAGCCCCGGUUAAGCCCCCAGUUAAACCUCCAGUUAAGCCACCAGUUUCACCACCAGCCAAGCCUCCGGUUAAGCCCCCUGUUUACCCUCCGACCAAAGCCCCUACUAAGCCCCCAACUAAACCCCCGGUUAAGCCUCCUGUCUCUCCUCCAGCCAAGCCACCGGUGAAGCCACCGGUUUACCCGCCGAAGUUUAACAGGAGCCUAGUCGCCGUUCAGGGUACGGUCUUCUGCAAAAGCUGCAAAUACGCUUCUUACGACUCGCUCACUGGCGCCAAACCAGUUGAAGGUUAGAAUCUUUUUAGUAUUUUGUUCAUAUUUCAUACGCAAAUACCUCAUUGAUAUACUAGUUCUGAACCGACCUAAACUUGCUGCUGCUCUGCAUAAGCAUUUAUUCAAUAGUUUACACGUAUAUUUGUACAACAAUACGUAUUUACAAGCUCUCAGAAAUACGUAUAUACUUGAUACCUAUCAUUACGCAAACUUCGAAAAAUAAUUCAAACCUCAAAACGUUUAAGUGGACCAUAGCUACGAGACUACAUGUUUCGAGAAAGAGGUAAAAAAUAAAUAAAGUGACUAUACUAUAUACACUCUUGCACUCUUCAGUCACUGUUUUACAGUCUGACCCAUAAAUUUUACGAACCCAAGAAAAAUAAUAAAAAAGCACUAAACUGUUUCCAUUAGUCCAAAACAAAAUCUAACGGAUAUUAUUAUUUCUUUAGGUGCAAAGGUGAGACUAGUUUGUAAGAGCAAGAAGAACAUAGUCGCAGAGACCGAGACAGACAAGAACGGAUACUUCUUGUUGUUGGCUCCGAAGACGGUGACCAACUUCGGUUUCAGAGGAUGUCGUGCGUAUCUUGUGAAAUCAAAGGACUACAAAUGCAAUAAAGUCUCCAAGCUCUUCGGUGGAGAUGUCGGCGCCGUACUCAAGCCGGUGAAAACGCCGGGAAAAUCUUCGGUGGUCAUUAACAAACUCACCUACGGUGUCUUUAACGUCGGUCCUUUUGCGUUCGACCCAGUAUGCCCCAAAUGAAGAUGAUUGAGAUGCUCUGGUUACUUUCUUGAAUACGUUAAGUUCAAAAGAGUGAAUUGGGAGAGAGCGAGUUAUGUGUUUCCGCGUUGCAAGUGUUAUCUUAGCUAGAUUUAAGUUAAAUGUUUGUGUUUUAUGAAUGUGGUCUUUUUAAUGAAUGUGUCCUUAAGUGACGUUUAAAGUUUCGUUUGAAUAAAAAUAGCCAUAUUCAAGAAGAUCAUCGGUUUUAUCUACUGUAGAGAAGAUCACUGUAAUGGGAUGAUAUCAUUUAAUGGUACAUUGAAUGCGUAAAGGAAAUGAAAGGCAUUUGUGUUUCGAAGCCUGUAUAAAUGGACGCAUGAUACUUAUUACAUUUACAAAUAUAGAUGGCAUCCAUCUCACCAAAAUUGUCAGUAUUAAAAUAAUGAAAAUUUUGAAAAGGAGAAAAAGAAACCUCUCAGUCUCAUAACAUAUUUAAAUUAUAUUAAUAUUAUAUACAAUAAAUAAAAUUUUGCCAAUAAGAAGAUGCUUUAACUAAGUCUUAUUUAGAACAGUAAAAAGACCGUCUUCUCUCUCAAGUCCCCUAGGGUUUUCAAAGUUCUGGCCGCCGCUUCUCGCCUCCGGUGGCUUCCAUAGCACCGGAGGUGAAUCUCUGUGUCUUAUUUUCGAUUUAGCAUAUCCGUGUCUUGCUCUUUUCUGCGUUUAAGAUCUUUCUUGGUCCGGGGUGGGUGAGUUCUUGUGCUUGGAGGCGAGUGGAGGCGUGUUUGAGAGUUUAUCCUUCGUGUGGUGGUGUUGAUUCGUCCGUGCUCUGGUCAGUAUUCGAUCGUCAUAGAUCUGGUUGGUUUGCUGGCUACUGGAUCUGCGUUUUCUUCCCCUCAGUGUCUGGUUACUUUUUGUGUUAGACUCUCUGUUCUCCAUUUUAGUCAAGAUUCUCUGUUUUGCCUUGCCUUUCUCAUCCAACGGAGAGGUUGAUUUCUCUGAAUCCUUAAUUGUCUCUUUGAUUUCUCUGGUCUCUUCUCAUCAUCAGUGCGACUGUGGUGUUUUGACGAGUGCGUGAGCAUACCAGGUUUAGCAUCUUUACUGUGAAGAAGUUGGUUGGUGUUACCUCUCCUUGUGAAGGAGUCAUCGCUACAUUUGAUUAAUAUAGUGUUAGUCGUUCCCGGUUUGUUUGAUUGACCUCAUAAUCCCUCUGUGGCUUCUUAUUGGAUGUUUGAAGCAGUAUAAUGAGGUUGGGGUUUGAUCCAUUCGGAUGAAGUUGUAGCUGUUGAGGGGUUUGUCCCAGGUGUUUUAGGUUCUUGACUCCGGGAGUCGAGGUUGGUGUGUGUGGUUGAUGCUAUUCGGCGUGGUUUUGUCUCUUCAUCGUGAAUAGGAAGUUCAGGUGAGUUUCGGCUCCGCUUUGGUCUAUCGCCUACUUGUUCGCUUGGCUAUCUUUGGUCUUUCAUUAGACCUAUGGUUAUGAAGGCCUCGACUAUUUUAUCUCUGAGCUUUGAAGGAUUGUAAGAAAGUCUUUAGUCGUAGAAAUUUGUGUUAGUCUCGUAAGUUAUGUUUAAGAUGCCUAUGUGUGGGCUUUAGUUUCCCUCCUAUGGGACAUGUUUCCGGGGAUUUCAUUGUGUUCCGCCGGCUUAUGUAUUACAAACUUGGAUUUUAAUAUAAAUCGAUUGACGGGAAAAAAAAAAAAGAAGAUGCUUUAACUAUGGAAAUAUACCAUGGGAAAUAUAUCAUUGCAAUUUGAACAAAAAAAAAAAAUCAUUGCAAAGAACGAGUAGCUUUUUUUUGGUAGGAGCAAAGAACGAGUAGCUUGUACUAGUAUUUUUGAAUUUCUAUUUUCCUAAUACUUGAUCAAAUUAAAAUGUUUUAUAGUUACGCUGCAGACAAAAACAGAUGAUUACAAAGAAUGGUAAUAAUGACGAAAGGAAGGGAGAAUCAUCGAAUAGGGUUUUCUACUUUCUAGUGGGUUCUUGGAUUCGGAGAAAAAUCAGCUGUGAAAUUGUCGGCCACGUGUCUGACAUAAUUUCCCAUCACAUCUCAAAGUUCAAAAAAGACAAGUUAAUUUCAAGAUAACAAACAAAAAAAAAAAUUUAAGUCGAUCGCUCGUUGAAAUUGAAGUGAUUGACAAGAAGAAAGGGUCUAUGGGCCAGUGGCGCGACGAUCUAGUGAUGCACUUUCACAGUGACCAAUAAUUUUCAGUAUGUUUUCUUGUGCCUUUUUAAAUUGAUGGACGAAAGAUUAUACUACCAUAUUACCAUGUUUUUGUUUGAGAGUUUUUUCAUAGGCCUCUAUCUUAGAUGAUCUUUAGGGCCUUUACCCUUUUAUAACAAGGUCUCAAAUGUCUAUUUUAUUGCUCGUCAUUUGAAAAAAUUGCCAACAAACGAAGUAAACAUCCAGUAUUUAGAUUUUUAUACUCUAAUCAAACUGAAAAUUUUCAGACAUAAACUAUAUUGAACCACAGUAGUUCAGUUUGUUGGAAACCGAUCAAAAUGUUCAAGGAGCUCAAGUAAAAUAAAUGUUUUCAGGAAGAGAGUAAGCUUGGGAAGCUUAUAAGGUUUUGAAAGGGUUUCUACUUUAGCUCAUAGCAUGAAGCCUGCUCAACAUGUGGUUCUCGUAAAGAAGCUAACCGGAUUAUUAGACGUUGGUUUAGGGCUUUAGAUUCCGGUUCAACGGAAUUAUUUUGUUGUUUCUUAGAAGGAAUUUUAUGGUGGUGGUGAACAGACUCCCUGCACCAGUAUCAUGAUUGAGAAUUGAGAUUUGUAUGACAGCUGCUUAUGUCCUAAUUCGUCUAUGUUAGUAUCAAAUUUCUAAAAGAAAAUAAAAAUUAGGUGAUUGUUUUUGUCUUUCGGUACGUGGGAUACACGGCCCAACUUUGUCGGAUAUAUUUCUUAACUCACACUGAGCUUGACUGGUAAGAAGUAUAUAAUAAAAUUAACUUAUAUCGGCUUUAAGAUUAUUAGCCCAAUGAAUUUGAGCCCAAGCCUUUUGGACUGUAUAUGAAAGCGUAUACGGUAUACCUACAAAAUCACAGCCCUAACUUGUAUUUUACUUCGUCAACCCAAUAAACCCAAUGAUUAGAUUUUAUUUUUAACUCAAAAAUUCAUUUCAUUCCGAUACAAAGUGAAAUACAUAAACCGGCGGAACAUGAAUAAAUUUCUGGAAACAAUAGCCUAAAAAAAAAGAAGACAUGAUACUAACCUAAACAACCGAUAAAUUUUAAAACAGUAGAUAAGUAAUAUAUAGAGACAAUGAAACUAUAGCUGAGACUGAUGAUCAAAUAAUUACUAAUCAUCUCUCUAUAGAACACGGUAACACUAAAGCUGGACUAAGGAGCAAAACUCUUGAGCGAUCUAAACCCUGAAGGGAACAUCACCAAGCCAAACUAGAACAUCAACAUCAUAAACAAUCGUGAGGUCAAAUCUACAUCAACUCCAGCAGCUACUAUCCAUCUGAAACUUGCAUGACCAAAAUCCCUCACUAAAACUAAAGUACAAGGACCAAAAAACUUGAAACGCCACUUGAAAAUAUGUUAUAAAGACCACACCAGCUCUUACACGCGGACACUCGCAAGACGGCCAAAUGACCUACAGAACAAAGACGGUCCACCUCCUCGCAAGAGAAGAACUGAAAAACAAGUCAACUACUUCGUCUAAAAACCAUAUCCCAUAUCCACAGAGGACCAAGAAAAGAUCUAGUAGAUACCUCCACAUCAAACACAAAUCACAAAGACGAAUCCAAAUAACGAGCUUAGGUUGAGAUGAAGAGACCAUGACAGCAAGAACCGAACAUAAGCAGCAGUCCCACGACUUCAAGCUACUACACCCUUGUCACAAAAUACCUUCACCCACGUUAACGACACCAAGAGAAGGGAACAAAUCCCACCGUCAAUCAAAUAGAUCCGGAUCUCCGGGUUCAACAGAGGGAAGAAACAGUCAGAUCUAAAACCAUGCACCUUGCCGGUAUCUGAGAUACUUCAAAUAUACUGUUCAAACCAUCAAGAGUAUAAACCCAAGCAAAAAUCGCAUACACAAAGACAGAACAGACAAGAAGGAAAGGAGGAGAGACCGACUCUGAUGCUGAUGGAGCCAUCGAAGCCGGUCUCUGCAGUACGUCAGAUACUUGCUCGCGAUGGCUAGGGUUUCUAAGACUUAGACUAGCCUUUCUUCUUUGUUUGUGUUUUCUUAAACCCAAUGAUUAAAUUAGUUAUUUUCUUUUUGUUGAUUAGAUUUUGUUUUGUCAACAUUCAUUUUAUUUCAUUAUAGCCUUUAAGGCUUAGAAAUACAAGUGGAAAGUCAAACCCAUUACACAAAUUAAUUAAACCCACAUAAAACCCAAACAUAAAGAUAGAUAUAUGCAUUGAACAACAUGUGUCCCUACGUGGUUUUCGACGUGUCCUUAAAUGGGGAAGGGUUUGGAUCCUUGCCGGAACAAGGACUUGGAUCCUUGCCGGAACAAAGACCGACUAGACAUCGCCGGAACAAAGGCCACUUAAACUCUAGAGAUUUGUUAAGAGACAAUCAUAGAGCUAGAGAUCCAUCCCUAAUUUAAUUCCACUUACGUGCUUUUUUUUCCCUAAAAUGUCUAUGUCAUCAUCGAAAGUUUCAUUCUUUUCGCCAGAUGUGUAACCGCAAAAAAACUUGAAAUGAUUCGUUAUUAGUCUUUGUUGAAACACUUGCAUAUAACAAGCUUCUACUCUUUUUAAACUGAAACAAAUCGUUAAGAAAAACUUGGAAAACUCAAUCUUCAUCUUGUAAGAACACUUUGCUUAGAUAACAUAAUAGCAAAGGUUGAUAUCAUUGGAGGAUAACCUAGGAGAAGAAGAACUCCAAAGAAAACAGUCAGGAUAAAUCAAUUUUUGUGAGGGAAGAAGCUCGGCCAAAUGCGAUCAUCAAGAUCAUAAUUUUAUUUAUCCAAUCAAUCCAAGAAAAUAAAUAAGAAACUGAAGAUUUGCUCAGAAAUUGAUUGAAACACCACAUCAAAAAUUGCCUAAGCAAAGAGACAAUCGCCUAACGCGAAGACAAGAUCGAUCUAAGAUCGAAAUAUAAACAUCAAAAAACAAAAUUAUCUUUAUCUCCUUCUGCUUCUAAAAACUGAUUUUCAAAAUGUUUUACUCAUAUUAAAAAAAUACAAUUAAAUUUAUAAUUUAUUGUAUUAUAUAUGUUUUAAUAAUUAUUAAACAAUAAUAUUUAAUAAAUUCAAAUAUUCCAGUUAAUAUUUUUAAAAUAUAUAAUUUAUCUAUAUCGAUAUAUAAAGUGACCAAAAUUUUAAAAAUUAAUAUUUGUAAAACAAAAAAAUGUCUAGUAAAUAUACUUUUUGGAAACUAUACUUCCUAAUUCAUGUAGAUAUAUAAUUUAAUUUUUUGUUGGCCCUCUUUUUAUGCUUCUUCUCUCUUCUAAAAUCUAAAAGUUUCAUCGCCCUCAUUGGUCAGCUCUGGUGGCUUAGACAACAUAGGAGCAGAUCCUUUCGUUCUAUGCUUGUAAUUAGUUUUUGUAAUUUUUCCUUCUUCAUCUUUUCUCUGCAUCAUACUGAUUUAAAGUUUUUUGUUUUUUUUUCAGAGCUGGGUUUAUCAAUCGAUUUACUUUCAGAUGGUGUCGAUCUUGUCUAGUCAGCUGCACGGUUUAUGUUUUAUCUAUCUUGCACAUCUGUUGCUUGGUCUAUGAUUCAGAGUAGUUGUGCCAUGCCAGUACUUGGUUAAUUCUAGGCCUGUUCUUUACUUGUCUCUACGUCAAUAACGGUGAUAGCGUUGUCUUAGUAUUGGCGUGGUAGUGUGUUGUGAGCAGAAAAAGUCUAACAUCAUGUAGAAGAAAUUGGUUUCCUGACAUUUCUCCAUCUCCAGUUUGGAAGGAGCCAUGCUCUCAGUCUUUUAAUAAGUGAUCCUCCCAAUUUAUUUUCAUCCUCUCUUGUUUCUAGUCCUCAGUUCUUGGCAUCGUUCCCUCUCUUUUGUGCUCUCAAUGCAUGAUUGCCAGCUGAUCAAAGAUUUGUGAUUUCUUUCUAUUAUCUUCAUCAAGUAGUGUUUAUGGCUUUUAUUUGAAGAUCUUUAGCUAUCGUUUUAGUUUUUGGUUUAGUCCUAGUCUCUUUUGUUUGGGAGUACGUUUUCCUUUUUUGGGCUAUGUUUCCAGAGAUUUCACUGUGUUCAUGUACGUGGCUUUUGUAUCUUUGUUUUUCUCCUGUUAUCAAUUAAAUUGAGAUGACCAAAGCAAAACCUAAUUUAAACUUAAGAUAAUAAAGAUCACUUCGAGUAUUUACUAUAUUGACCAAAAGGUCCCAUUAAUGUCUUAAUCUUCUAAAAUAUCAUUGGUUAUUUGAGUUCAACAUUUUCCACUCAGGAAAUUAAAUGUUCUUUGGGAAAUUACAUACUUUCGUUGUUAGAGAGUUUAGUCACUACCUGUAACAUUUAUUGGGCGAGACUGAAACCAUAGGCAAUGAUGAUGAGCCACACAACGAGUGUAGAAAGUAAUUGGCUCUCUACCAACAAAACAAGAAAAUAGCUACCACGAGAAAAGUUUUUCGUCAAUGCUCGACUUCUUUUUCCAUCUGACGACGGCGAGUGUGAUUUACCCUCCAGUUGAGCGCGUGACAAUUUGAAGAGAGUAGAACAUAAAAAAGACUAAUAAAGAGUCAAUAGAGCCCACGGAAACAUUUUCUCUUACCGAACCAAAACACAAUCCUCUCUCUCUCUUCUCUAAUCUUCCUCUCUAUCAUCUCUUCAAUGGAGAGAUACAAAGAUGCUUCAAUGAAUCUGAUUCCAUCUCCUCGAUGCCACAACAACAACAACAGCUGCAGUAUGAGCAGCAGCACUGAGAGCAACAACAAACCACCCACAACUCCGACCCGACAGGUAACCACUAGAUCCGAAUCCGGAAACCCAUACCCAACCACUUUCGUCCAAGCCGACACUUCUUCCUUCAAACAAGUCGUCCAGAUGCUAACCGGAUCCUCAGACAGACCCAAACAACACAACACCUCCUCUCUCAAACCCAACCCGACCCAUCAACCCGACCCGAGAUCCUCUCCUUCCCAAUUCUCAAUCCCUCCAAUCAAAGCCGUAAACAAGAAACAGUCUUCCUCCUCCUCCUCAGGGUUCCGUCUCUACGAGCGCCGUAACUCGAUGAAGAAUCUCAAAAUCAACCCGCUAAACCCGGUUUUCAACCCGGUUAACUCAGCCUUCUCGCCCCGGAAACCCGAGAUCCUCUCUCCAAGCAUCCUCGAUUUCCCGUCUCUCGUUUUGAGCCCCGUCACUCCUCUUAUACCCGACCCGUUUAAUCGAUCCGGGUCAUCGAGUCAGAGCCCCGACGAGGCCGAGGAGAAGGCUAUGAAAGAGAGAGGCUUUUAUUUGCAUCCGUCUCCGGCGACAACUCCGAUGGACUCAGAGCCUCGUCUUCUUCCUCUGUUUCCGGUGACUUCUCCUCGGGUCUCAGGUUCUUCCACAGAUUCUAGUUCUUGAAUGAAUGAAACCAACUCUAAUUUUUUCUUUUUAAAGAAUAUCAUUUCCUUUGUGAUUUUUAAAUUAUAUAUUAUAAUGGGAAUUGAAAUGAAUCCUGAUGAGACUUGUGUUAUAUAUGAGAGAUGAUUGUAAUGCUCAGAUGAGAUGUUUGCCGAAGCCAACUGCGAUUUGAAAUUGUAUUAAUCUCUAUAAAGGUGUUUAUUGGUUUCAUUGCUCAUAUUUGACUAGUUUCAGAUCAUUUUUGUUUAGUUUAGUCUCCAUAAUUACAAAUUUACAGUUACUGAAAAAUAACGAUUAAGAGAUUUGAAUGAGUAGAAUAUGAAAACUAGAUUAGUUGUGGAAUUUGUUUCUGUUCUAAAGAUUCUAGUGAUUUUUUGUUCACUGUCAAUCCUGAAGUUCUACUGAGUUAAUGGGGUGUAAGUUUUAAUUUAUGGAAUGAAGUAGUAGUUUGAUAAAAAAAAAAUAGGAUACACAACUUGUUGCAUUCUCCCAAAAUUUGUUUUUAGUACACAAGUGAAGAAGAGAUUGGUCUGAUAGAGAAACCAGAUUGGUCCAGCUUUCUUUUGCUAAAGGAUUUGAUGAUGAAAUAACCAUAGUAACAAUGGAAAAGGAGUUUAAAAAAUAAAAUAAAAGUUUAAUUUUUAAAUUUUUUUCUCCCUUCUUUACGCCUUAGAAAAAGUGAAAACAAAUUGAAAAAGCAAAGUGUUCAGAAAAAAAAUGAAAAACGAAUAAAAGAGUAAAUUGGAUAGAAAGAGUGGGGCUUAGCUGUCUAAAAAAGAGGAUAUUAAAUUAGGGAGUAAGGAAUCUUUUGACUAUCUUUUUUCUUCUCCUUUGUUUUCUUUUAUUUCAUUUUCAUAAUGUGAUUGGGUUUUGUGAUAUGUAAGACCCCAUUUUACCUAUAUUGUCAGCCUAAUGAUAACAAUUAUAGAUGUUUCCAACCGUCUUAUACGAUAAUUACUGGCUUCUGUAUAUAGUCUGUUUACAGUUUGAAACACUAAAGUACAAAUUACUUUUGGUCAUUGUUUGGAGAUAAUAUCUUGGGUCAAAAAGUCAUAGUUAAAAGUCAUUUUCAAAUAUAAUUGAAAGUGGACUAAGGCAUAUGGAUCGAGAGGUAAUGGGCAUAUUUGCAAAAUGCCCCAUCUAAUUAUUUUAACUGAUAUUUUAAUUCUGCCUUGAAUAUUUCUUGGUCAAAGGUUUUGGUUUAGAAAAGAAGAAAAAGAAUAAGGCUUGUUAGAAACUUUCAAAUUUAGGUGUUUUAAUUGGUAGCACAAAAGGGACGUGGUCUACCGUAGCAAUUAAUUAGUUAAUAGUUUCAUUAAAUGGUCUUUAGACCAAAUUAAAUUAAACUUGACUCGAUCUCUUAGCAUGUGGUGGACCGUAUCUAUCUCUUUCCUUUGAAAAUUCUCAUGUGAAGAGAGUUGAUGAUGAGGGCCCUACUUCCACUAUUAGUGGUGCCACUGAGAGCGAUUGCGGUUGACCCAUUUACAAAUUUUCUUUCCUUUAUAAGAAAUAAAAGUAUUUCUCUUUUUUUUUUCACGUCGCACUAUAUUUUAAUAAAAAACAAUUUUGUUCGAUAUUCUAUUGUUAAUCUUACUCAGUAGAAUCUUUUUUUGUUAACUCUCACUAGAAUCUAAUCCUUUUUUGUGCGAUGAUAUAUCAAGAUUUAGAUGCCAAGUGUUUCUUUUUUUAUAUGUAGAAAUAAUAAUUCGAAUUGGUAGAUUCUAAACAACAACAGAAGGAGAGGAAACACCUUGUACACUGUGUAAAAUCUAAUUUACUAGUUAUCAAAAAGUUAAUCAUUUUGUGGGUUUGAAAUAAAGCAAAGCAAUAAAAGUCAAAAAGUAAUGGAGAUGUGGUGCGAAUAGCAAUAAUGUUUCAAAGUUAGGUUCUCUUUUUUUUUUAAUUGAUUUAAUGACUUUGGAAAAAGACCAUACAGUGCUGAAUGAAGUAGUAGUGCAGGUGGGUUUUGACGUCUUGUAACCAUGAAUGAACCUACACAUUUCCUCAGACAAACAAACAGAAAAUACAGCAAGAAAAUUAGCCAGAACACAGGAUGGGCCUAAUAUCAGACAUUGUCAAGGGCUCUCUAUAAGUUUGUUUAUAUGCAACUAAUUAAAUUUAUGCAAUUCAAAAACCAAUUCGUAUGGGUAAAAAGUUAUAAACGCGGUAAGUGCGGUUAGUUCUGGAUCUUUUAAAGAUGCUUUCAUUUUUGUAAGCCUUGCGUUUUUCAAUUCAAAGUUAAUGGCUGAUAAAAAUAGUUGGAGUGCUUUAUCCUCCCUCAUUUUCAAUAAUAUUUUAACCCUACGUUCUUUGAAAUACCAUGUAAGUGAAUAAUAAGUACUAAUGCUAUCCAAAAUAAAGUUUUGAAGUUUUGAUUGGGUUUGAUAUGAAUAUGAUUUAAGAUAUUACAUUAAACCUCAUUAAUAUUUGAAGGUGCAGAUUUGUUUGGGCUUUAACUUGGGUUUUCUUCUAUCCCAAAUCAACUUUCAUUUGAGAUCCCAAUUAAACCCCAACAUUUUUUUCAUUUGAUUGUCACGUUACUGUGACAAAAAUUCCUGUUCUGAUAUGAAAUUAUAGAAGCAAUUAAUUCUGUGAAAGUUCUAGAUUUUCAUAACUACUUUCAUGAUUUCGGUUAAAUGAUUGAAAGUUUUACAUCAAUAAUAUGUAAACAGAUGUGACUACUCCUGUUGAUUUUAGGUUGGAAAGCUUAUGAAAAAUCUGGAUUUAACAAUUUUAAAAUUUCAUGUGGAUUGAUCCAAAAAUCUUACUCUCGAUUAGGAAAUUUAGGCAUAAACCCCUGUAUUAUUAUCCAGGUCUGAAAACACGAUGUGCAAGCGAUUACACAGCAAUGAAAUGCUCGGCGGUGAACAACCGUGGUGAUUUCACUAUACUCGACUAACAAAUUAAUUUCAUUAAAAUAAUUCAUUUUUUUUUUUGAAUGAUUGCAAUCGAAUAUUAUAUAUCUGAUCUAAAUAUUUGAUGAAAAAACAAUAAGAAAAGGCAAAAAUAUAGUUGUUGAUGAAGAAACUCGGAUGACAGCCAAGGAAAAAUUGCAGGAAACUUAAAAGUUGUCUAAAUAACGAUUUAAUUACGAUUAUCAUUAAUGAAAACACUUCUCCGUAGGCGAACACAAGACAUACUGACUAAUACUAGGUAAAUACCAGUCUACGCCGCAUAAGAUAUUUAUAUAAUUUUAUAUAAAAUUUAUAUUUACUUAGAUAAAUAAUUUUUACAAUUUCUUGAUAAUAUUAAAAUAUUUGUUUUAAAAUAUGUGAUUAGUAAAUAUUAAUAGACUUUGGUUUUGAUUUUAAACUUUGAGAGAAUUUUAAAGAUUCUGAUGAGCAACUUUUGUCUCCUUCUAAUUUCAUAGUAUUUCUAAAAAAUUUAGAAGUUUUGUUUGUAAGUAUAGUUUUGUUUUUGUUUACUAUGAAGUUUGCUCAAAUUUAUUUCUAUGUUAAUACUAUAUUUGUGUGCUGGUAGAAAUACAUUGUAAAAAUCAGUUCUUCACAUAACUUUUUAUUUUAUUUAAUUAAUUUAAAUAGAAGUAAAAUUCUUAUUAGUUAGAUAUCAAAAAAAGUUUAAAUUUCUAUUAAUUAUUUUGUUUAUAUAAUACUGAUGUAGCCUUGAAUACAAGUCAUAUUUCUUCUAUGUAUUCGUUGCUAUUUUCCGUAAGUUCAUUUUGUGGAGUAUCCUUCCAAAUUAACACCCUUUUUUUUAAUCUUCAAGCUGUAUUUGAUGAGGAAAGUUUAUUUGGUUUCUAGUUGUUCAAUGCUGAUACUAUUUCUCUGCAAUGUUUGGUGCUAAAUGAGUUUUUCCCCUUUAAUUGUGUGUUUUUUUGUUGUUAGUGAGAUACCAUUUUAUCUAUCCAAUAUGUUAUUUGAUUCCGAUGCAAGUCUGUGCUAUUUCAUAACUGAUAGUUUUGUGCUAAUGUUUCCUGAGUAAUGUUUAUUUUUAAGAAAUUGAAAGAAAAUUAUAUUGUUAUGUAGAUCAGUGUGUUUGGACUGUUGUGGACAUUUAACCUUCUACACAAAAUUAAACUAUUUUGCUGUCUAAGCAUAGAAAGAAAACAACUUUUCAUCAAUUGAGCGGGACACAUGUUAUAGUGCACGACCCUUUGUGAAAAUUGUCCAUCUAUUCUCGCACACUUUCUUGUAAUUUGCAAGACAAAACUGAAUCAAAUUUUCUUCAGAAAAAAAUACACUGUUUUAACGGGGACUUCUGUUCUGCUAGGACUUAAAUCAGAUUUCAGAGAUACUAGGGGGGGGGGGGGGUGUCUGCGCUACGAGCGGGAUUGUUGAUAAUUAUUUUUUCAUGAAAAAAUGUUUGUAUUUUAUUUUUAUGUGUGUAAUGUUAAAGCCAUUUGUAUUAAAGGUGGUAUAGUACACUAGUAACUGUUACAAUUAGGAAUUCACUAAAUUGGUUUUAAAAAGUCAAAAAAUCAUAUCUAAAUAAUAUUAUUUUUAAAAUAUGUUAAAUGUUAAAUCAUAUGUAAAUAUGUUAAAUGUUAAAUCAUAUGCAAAUCGAAGAAUGGAUCGUUAAUAAUAUAAUAUGAUAUAUCAAUAUGGUCUUUUUAGUAUUUUUUUUGUCCAAAACCUAGCAAUUAUUGGUUACAAUAUCACAAUAGCUAUGUUUUCUAUUUUAUGUCAAUAAGUUUACUAAGUAAAUUCACUCUAGUAUUAUUUUAAAUUUAUUAUUUGGACAACGAAAAUCUGGGGCAAACAUAUGUUUUUGUUUUUUAUUUUUAUUUUAGCUACGAGCGGGAUUGUUGAUAAUUAUUUUUUCAUGAAAAAAUGUUUGUAUUUUAUUUUUAUGUGUGUAAUGUUAAAGCCAUUUGUAUUAAAGGUGGUAUAGUACACUAGUAACUGUUACAAUUAGGAAUUCACUAAAUUGGUUUUAAAAAGUCAAAAAAUCAUAUCUAAAUAAUAUUAUUUUUAAAAUAUGUUAAAUGUUAAAUCAUAUGCAAAUCGAAGAAUGGAUCGUUAAUAAUAUAAUAUGAUAUAUCAAUAUGGUCUUUUUAGUAUUUUUUUGUCCAAAACCUAGCAAUUAUUGGUUACAAUAUCACAAUAGCUAUGUUUUCUAUUUUAUGUCAAUAAGUUUACUAAGUAAAUUCACUCUAGUAUUAUUUUAAAUUUAUUAUUUGGACAACGAAAAUCUGGGGCAAACAUAUGUUUUUGUUUUUUAUUUUUAUUUUAGAAUUGUUGUCCUUUUUAUAUGUCAUAUUUUGCUAUGGUCACUUAUAAUAUAAUAUUAUAUGCUUUAUAAAAUUUAGUCGAAUGUUAAAUAUAAUGCAAACAAAAGAAUGUUUAGUUAAUAAAAUAAUAUGAUAUAUUAAUAUGGUGUAUUUUUUUAUUAUCUUUCGUUAAAAUCUAGUCAAUUAUGGGUUAUAAUAUCACAAUAGAUAUGUUUGUGAAUAUCUUGUAUAUUGUAUAUCUUUAUAUAGAAAAUAUUGUAUACUGGAAUUUUUAUUCAUCACGGUAAGCUGUCGAAUCUUGUAUAUUCGCUUGUGAAUAGAUUGUAUAUUGGAUAUCUUUAGUAUAAAUUCAAACCAAUAUAUUGUAUGUGGUUUGGUUUGUUAAAUUGUAUAGUAUUGUACACAGUAAGCAACAUGUAUUGUAUAGUUUUUAAUUUUUUUAAGUGAAUUUUCUUGAGGAACAGGUGUCAGAAUUCUCCCAUGACACUUGUAAGAAAAAUGGAAAAAGUCUAUUUUACAUAUAAAGAUUGCAUUACAUGUUAAACAAGCACUUGCAACCGUUUUUCUUAACAUGCUUUCACAUCAUCACCACAUCAAUAAUCAGGAGAAAAUGGUUUCCAUGAGAGUAAGUUUUACCAUUUCUGAAGGGUUUAACGAUCCCUUAACAAGGUUUUAAAUUUUUUAUGAAAUACAGAUAUAUACUUGUCCACCUUGAUCUUAACUUUAUGCUGAAAACCACAUAGAAAGUAAGAACAACAAAAACGAAAUAAAGUGAAUCAAAAAUUGUUUGCUUCCUGCAACUUUUAUGAGUUUGCUCUUAUAUUCCUUGAAACACUCAACUUGAUGAUACAAUGGAAUUGCGUGCUGCAAAGAAAAAAAUAGUAUAUACAAAAAAAAAAAAGAGAUCAAAAAAAUAAUGUAACAAAUCAUGGUGACCUGUCACAAACUGUGACACAAAUGCAGUGCCACAUUGAAAAACACAUCAAGAACAAGAUCUCCAUGAUCAGGUUGCUGGGAAGAGAAGGACAUGAAGACAAUACGAGUAGAUGGUUGAAAGCUCGAUAACAUAUUCUUUCAGAAGCUUUUGUUAAUCUAGAUUACAAAUAGAAAACAUAAUGCAUUCAUUGUAAAAAGGUUUUUGAGUUGAAUAAAUUUAACAUUCAUUCAAAAAAAAAAGAAUGUAAAAAAGAAAAAGAACAGUCACUCACAAUGAUAAGAGAGCUGCAUUGUCGUCAUAACAUGAAGUUGCAUAAGUGAAAUUCAUACCAGUGCAAAGGUUGUUGCCUGAAUCUUUGGACUUAGAUAAGGUGGGGAUACUUAAUAAAGAAGUGUUGCAGCUCUGAAAAGGUUCGGCUCCGAUAUCAAUCACAUAGUCACCGAAUGUUAUGAUAGCCAGAACAAGUUGUCGUUGGAGCAUCUGGUGAUGGUAGCAUGGACGAUGGUUUCACUUAACGCAACUUCAUCUUCAUCAACGAAGCAAAGGCCACAGAUACUGAUCCUUUUCCAUCCAAAAAACCUCGAGAUUGAUCUUCAAACACGGAUCGGGUAUCUUUCAGCAGGCUUCUCAUGUGCAUAAUGGUGAACGGGCAUCUGAAUAUGCCACUCUCUUCUAGAAAUCUGACUGUAAACAAUAUAUGACAUGGGGGGACGAUGAGCUUGUUUGAUCGCGGGCGUUUGUGCAGAACAUUGCUUGGAUGACAUAUUAAAACAUAUUAAGAAAAGAAGAGAAGCUUAUGUAUACAAUGAUGUGGACAAAUAAAAUGUUUUCAUUGGUUUUUUAGGUUUUUUCAUUAAUUGAUGUGGCAGUUUUAUAGAGCCUUAAAAAGCUGAUGUGUCAAGGCUAGAUAAACCUCUUGUGUUAUUAUUGUGUUGAUUUCGAUCCAUGACCAUUAAACCACAGCAACUCAUUGAUAUUAUAAUCAUAAAGUCUUUUAUAUUGAAAAAUCAAUUCAAAAUUUUUUGUAAAGAAAACUUAUUUAAAACUAAUUUCUGAUAAAUUUCUGACUAAUUUCUGUUUUUUUUUGUUAAUUCAAUAAGUACACACUGAUAACAUAAGUUUUGGGCAUAGUUAUUUUUCAUCAAUCCAACUACCACAUGUUCUUUUUUUUUCCUCGAACAUUUGUCUACCACAUGUUCUUGAUACUCCAUCUACUAAUUCGAUCAAGUUGGAUUUAUAAAUUAUCAACAUCAAAAAGAGUUCCAGUUUGGGGCCCUCGUUUAUAAAAAAAAAGCUUAAUUUUAAUGUACUAAAAUAUCAUGAUGUAUACAUAAUAUAUAGACAAACGAAACUUAAUAUUUGAACGAAACGAAAUAAACGGACAACAACAAAGGAAAAUAGCCGAUAUAUAUCGAAGAAUCAAAAGCUUGUAUAUGCAUCAGAAUGAUAUGAUUAGAUAAAGAAAGAAAAUACAACAAAAAUAAUUGCAAUCUUAGAAUCAUAGAGUACAUUACGAAAGAAAAUCAUUAACGAUCAAGAAUGAAGAAUGAAGAUCGAACGGUGUUGAAUCCAAUCCUCUUCCCUAUCAUUUUGUUAUCACUUAGCGUACCUAUAGCAAUGCGUGAUCGCACUGCAUCCACGCCUAUAAGGAUUAUUCCUUCUCCUCUUCUUGCAAUCGUAGUAAGAUCUACCACGUCUAUUACAAGGAACAUUAUUCUUUUUAAGAGCAUCAUAGCCAAUGUAACGACGUCCUCUAGCGAGUUGACGUCGGUUUGUCUCUGAAUCCAUUAGAGAUUCUAGUUCAUCAUCAUCUCCGAUACAACCUUGCCCGUUGAUGCAAGAUUUAGUCAAUGGGUAGGUCGCAUUGACGGAUGUAGCUACCAUAGCUAAGAUCAAGAGACCAAAUAUGAGUAACAACUUAACACCACCCAUUUUAUAUGUAUAUUUUUGGGUUUUUUUGGUAUAGAUGAGUUCUAUGAAAGCUAUUUGCUUUAGUUUUUGGUUUCUUCUACGACCUUUCCUUAUGAAAGGAGAGGGAGAAAUAUAAAGUGAUAGAUAUUGUGCAGAAGAACAAAUGAGAGAUUGAUUUUGUUGAGGAUACAAAAAGGGUUAGACAGAUAGAGUGCGGUUUUGCCUUUUUAAUUAUUAUGUGGUCGUUAAUUCUGCUACUUUGGAAUUGGGGUUUUAACCUCGUUUUCAGGUUUGAUCUUGCCCAUUUUUUCCGCUUGGUGGUUAGAUCUAUAUUUGUUAAGUUAUAUUUGGCUCUCCUCUUUGAUCGGCUAACGAUCUUUUAUUAUUAUGUUAUAUUUAAUCAAAUUCUCAAAUUAGCAAAGUACCUAAACGUUUAUGAUCAGUUUUGUAACCAAAUUUUAAAAUCUUAGUAAAAUAAGCAAUACGCGUGGAUCUGUUGAAUCUUACUUCCAGAAAAUGUACGCAUUUAAUAAUAUUUUGUAAUUUUUUGAUCCGUAAAAUAAACAUUAUCUGUCGGUAGAGGUGUCAAAAUGGAUAAUCCAACUCAAACCAAUCCAUAACCAUAUGAACCAUUUAGUUAAUGGUUAAUGGAUAAACCUAAUCCAUUUAGUUAAUGGUUUGGAUCAACCCAUAACUCAUUUAAAAUAAUGGAUUAAUGGUUUUAAUGAGUUGACUCACUAUUAUAUAGUAUCAAUAUUACAAAUCAAUUAAAAUAAGGAGAAAUUUAUAUAAUUUUUUUCAAAUAAAAAUAUCAUUAACACUGUCUAAAAUAGUAUUAUGCAAAUUUAUAAGUAAAUUGUUAAAAUUAAUAAAAUUAUAAAACAUAAAAUUAAAACAUAGUAUUUUCAUUAAAAAACAACAUCAUGUGAACAUCUCUAUGGAAUUAUUCUUGUCAUUGUUGUCUUUAAUAAUAAACUCCCUCUAACAACACAACAAAUAUGGAAACAAUUCUGUUAGAAAAAAAAAGAAACAAAUUAACUUAAUCAUACAUAAAACUCUUGUCCAUUUCAUUUCAGAAAGACGAAUAUAAGAAACAUAAAGAAUAACUAAACGAAUCAUGAUAUAUCCAAAACAGAGAAAAUUCAAAACCAUUCUAAUACAUUCACGCCCAAUACUUCCACUUAAACAUCUCAUUCAAAUCAUUACCAAAAGCCAGCUUAGUCACACAUACUCUGACAAAACAAGGAAAAAAAGUUCAGAAACAGAGAAACAUCACAUGACUAACCUUUGCCUUACUGAUACGUUUACAGCUUUCCCCAUGACUAGUGCUAGCAAAAGCCUCUUGGAGCACACAUUCUGUCACCAGAAUAUGAACGUUUUUAACAUACUGAUCUUAAGCUUAAAUACAUAUCAUCAAGUUUUAACACAAUCAAGACUUACUCUUUAGGAGUAUGCGUGAUGUUGUUUGGCUACUUCCAGUUUCUUCUACUUCAUUUGGCCUUGAGCGAAUAAUAACCAUCUCACCACUUGGAAGACACUCUUCAUCAUUGUUCAUCAUUUUUAGACACUGAAAUAAUGUACCAAAACAAAAUAAUAAGACAAAAUCAUAUAUCUACAUUAUGAAAGACCACAUGUACACGUUAUGCUUCUUUUAUUAUAUAUAUACAAGUGUUGAAUCACAGAGUAUGGGAACUACAACUACAAGAGGAGAGACAGUGACGUUCUUUAUAUAUAUACAAGUAUUGAAACUCGAGGUUAUGUUGAACCAUUAAAACCAUCAAAAAAACCCACAACGAAAACAAAAUACUCACAACGAAUAUAACGAUUGAACCUCUUAGAUGACGAGAUAUGGCAAGUGACGAGAUGAGAAACGAUAGAGAUCAAUUGAAGAGAUCGAGAUCAAUCAAAGAGAUCGAGAGGGUCACGGCCGAAGAGGGUGAAAUAGAGAGGGUCUCGGCCGAAGAGGGUGAUUGAGAGGAUCGCCGCCGAAGCUUAAAGGGUCGCCGAAGGCGAAAUCGUCGGAGCUUUCGAGAGGAUCGUCACCGCUUCUAAAUUUUUUAAAUGGAAUUAAAGAAGAAAUUGGUUUGAUUUGGAUUAUUCAUUAACUCAUAUUAGUCCAACCCAUUCUAAACCAAACUUAUUAAACCCACUAUCCAUUAAACCCAAUUAUAUAAUAAGAUCCAAAUUCUUGACUCAUUAAAGUCCAUGGGUUGGUUUGGUUUGGGUUGAUCCACUAAAUUAUACCCAUUUUGACAUGUCUAUCUGUCGGUUCCUUAAUUUCUCAUGCAUGUACAAACCUAUAUUAGUUGUCGCCUUGUGUCCUUGGGUUUGUUGCACAAUUUUCCAAGAGAAUGAAAACACAUUAAGAAAUUUUAAAGGUUUGGUUGUACUUACACAAACAAAAAUCAAAGAAAAAUUCAAAAGUUUUAAAUCCAUCGAGUUCCUUUGUUUCUUGCGGAGUGAACUGAAUUAGAUGAGGGUAGAUGGAGACGAAUACGCGACCAAAUAACCAUCUUCUUACAUCGGAGAGAUAAUCUUAGAGCAUUAUUAGAUACCCACUGAAGUAUAAAUCUUAUGAUUACAUUUAUUGUUAUUUAAUUAUAUUUGUAAACCUUUAAAUAAUAAAAUAAAAGUGAGCCAGUGAUAGUGCAACAUCAUAAAAAUGAGUCUCUCGAGUAUUUGUCAAUAGUUUCUUUGUUAAAAUCGAUUCUUUCUCAUCUCUCCACUUUUUCUAUUUUCUUCGUUUUUAGUUACAAGAUCCUCUCUCAGAAACCUAUGCUGCGAAUGAUGAUAAGACUUUACAAAUCCCUAACUCCUUUAUUGAUUAUCAGAAAUGGAUAUGCUGCUUUGCAGGUUCCGAUCACAAUCAUCCUAUCAUGGCGAAGAUGACUGGUCCCGACGAUCUCAUGGCGACCGUAUUGCGAUUCAUGGCUACCAUAUUGCGACUCAUGGCGUCAACAAUCUACAACAUACAAAGCAUGAAGAACCAAUGAAGAAGAAGAACUCUAUUUAUAUCUCGGCUUCCAUCUAAGUCGUCUUCAACCGCAAGGCUUCUGAAUCGAGUCGAGGCUUUCUUCUUUCUGCUUUUGUACCAAUCAUUUGCCAGCUCAGCCACCCAACUGCGAGCUCAUCACCGUCCAUAUCUUGAUGUCUAUAGCACUUCCAUUGAUAAAAAUGAGAUGAGUAUUAAACAAUAUUAUAACAAUAAAAAUAGGUAAGAGCACCAUUAAAGCAAAGGGGAAGAAGGUGGGUUCUAAUUUUUUUUUAUUAUUACUUUUUUUUGUUUUGUCCGAUUUAAAAAAAAAAAAAAUUAAAAGUAAACCAAUCGCGGGCCGCCACGUGUCAGUGGGGCCCACGAACAGUUAAAAAACUUCACCGGAGUCACCUCUUGCAGAAGAGGAAGAAGAGGUGAGUUUUCUGGUUUUUGUGGGCCCUCCACCUCUUACAACUCAUUAAGAGUCAGCGAUAAUGCUGCUCUAAGGGGAAAGAACGAGAUACAACAUCUCUGUUCCGAUAUGAUCGAGACGUUUUAGGAUUUAGGAUGCUCUUAUUUACAAAUGACAUUGUAUCAUUGGCUUAAGACUUUUAAGAAAAGAAAAAUAUUCAAAACUUUUAGAAAGCUGUCAGAAAAUAUUAAUAUAAACAAAUAAGAACCUGUUGUGAGUUUAUUACCAAUAAGCUUGCUCUUAGUUUGGUUUAGCUUCCAAGAAGCAGAAACAAAUAUAGUGAAACCAAAAGACCGAUGUUGGAAUACGAGCAAACCAAACCCUGACCAAGAUGAUGUUCGUGUUUCAGUUCCCUUGCUGCUGUUUGUACUUCUGCUUUCUCAAGCCAAAGAAAAAAAAUCAAUAAGAGGGAACCAAAUCAAGAGUUUCUCUGUCUGCGUCUGUGUAACCAAAAAAAAAACUUGUACUAAGCAUUGUACUGGUAAUCAACUAGGUGAAAGUUUUUAUAAGAUGCUAUUUAAAAGACUCCAUGUCAUCCACAACUAGAACGUUUGAGCCCUUGAAUAGAACACCUCAAGACAAUGGAGAAAGUAUUGGAACAGAUCUCACACGUUUGCUCAGAGCAUCAGAGAUCUGAUCAUGAAAGUGCGACAGAGAUCCAGUAGAAAAAAAGAGUGAGUGUGUUCCAUGUUGGAGUAUGUAAAACCCCGAUCCAACUAGGGUUUUAUAACCAAAGAAACAGCAUCCACAAGUUAGAAGAAGAAGAGUUGCCAGAGAAAGCUCAACUGACAUUGUCUUGGACCUAGAUCUCCAAGAAGAACAGCUUUCGUUGACAAAAUUUUUUUCUCCACAGAUCAUUGAAUUGAAUCUGGGCUUUCCAAGGACAAUUAGAGCCGAUCAUUAAAAAGUAAAAGGUUCCUUCCGAUACAUACCGGUUUCUGUAUUUGUACGCUAAUCACUCUUUAAUUUGGUUUGAGAUAAAAAAAAAAAAAAUCAAAAUCUGUCUUGUUUAAACAAGAACAUCAUAUAGAUAUACUAUUUAUCUACCAUGUCAUUAAAAUAUAUCGUUACAUUUUUUGAUCUUUUAGAAUUUCACUAAAUAUAAUAAUGUCAAAUCUAUUUCUAAUCGAUUUAAACAUAGAUCUGCUAAUAUUUUUAUUCGAAAAAUAAAUAUAUGUUUUCAUUUUAUGUUAUAACAACAUCUUAUUCUUUUUAAAAAAUAACAACAUCGUAUAAAAUAGUGUUAAUAAUUCUUAAAAAUAAUUAUUUAAAUUCAAAAUCACUACUUAAAAUAUCAAAAGUUAGUAUUAAUUAAAUUUUGAUAAAUUUUGAUCAAUAAACCAAAACAUUCUACUGUCUUAAAACGAGUUUUUAACGGUCACAACAAAUAAUAGUUAUAUUAUUGAAUACUUAAAUAAAAUGUUGAUUUAUUCAAUAAUCGUUGGAUUAAUUUCUAACAAGUGAAUACUAUAAUGUAUGUUAUAAAAUUCAACAAAAUAAAUUUACUAUCUUUUUUAAAUCCAACAAUUUACCUCAUAUAAAACUAAAUGUGAUUAUUAGCAUAAAAAGAAAUUGAUCUAUUAUAUUUUCAAAUAUUGUCAAACAAAUCAGUUAUGGUUUAAUGUUUUUAUUCGACUCAAGUUUUUUUUUUUUUGAAGAUUUUCAAAUUCGACUCAAGUUUUAUAUGUUUAAAAAAUCAAAUCCGAAUAGGUGUUCUUUUUCUGUUUGAUUCCAAUUAUUAGAAAGAAAGUGGUCAUGUCAUGAUGAUCUUAGCAUCUAAAAAAUUAUAGUUUCCAUUUCAAAAUGUCUGACGAAACAAAAGCCUUUGUAGAUGUUGCUAUGACGCAGCUAAUAUAAUGAGGUGCUAACUCAACCCUGUUUAUUGCUAGUUAACGAUAUAGUUGAUACAUACGGUUUAUUAAGAAUACAUAUUUAAGAAAAAGUAAAGUUACAUGACGAACUAAAUAUCUCGAUUCUUAAGUGUAUGUAUGCUUGAGAAAUUUAGUUCACUUCACCCAAAAAGAACAAAAACAAGAACAUGAUUCAUGGACUAAAAGCCAGAAUAUGAAAUCUAUGAGAAGCCUUUAAGAAGAAAAGAAACAUUAUUAUCAAAUUCUGGUGACAAAGUUCUAUCACUUUAGGUAUGUUUCUGAGUGCGUUUACUUGAACCGGUAAGUGGAAUCCAACUGUGGAUAGCCCCAGUCUACAUGGUAGCAUUACUUUGGCUGUGACCCUUCUGUUUGCGUAGCGGUCGGCUCAAUCCUCUCUCAUAAAAUGGAGGCCUAUAACAAGCGACAAUGCUAAAUGUCAUCAUCAAACCGGUGCAUGCAUUCGUUUAGUUGACUUUUGCUUGGUUAAACAAGUUUUAUCUAACUUCCAACAGGCAUGGGAUCAGUCCAUCAAACUAUCUCUUAUGAUAAGGCCCUAUAGCUGUUGUCUCUUAUGAUAAAAUUAACAAUGUGUCAUAAAGAAAAGUAUCUUAAGAUAGCACUAGAAAAUGUAUUAACUCCAAAAAUAGCGUACAAAUAUAAAAUUUUCUAGAAAAUAUUUGGGAAAAUUGUUUUUUUAGAGCAAAAAAAUGGUAACUAUGUCCCUUUAUAUUAAUCUAUAUUACUUUAUGUCCCAUUAGACUAUUUUUUUUCAAAAUGCCAGUAAUGCCCUUAAAAUUAUAAUUUUUAUUCUUUUUUCGUUUUUUUUUUAUUUUUUUGUUCCUUUUUCGUUUUUUUUAUUUUUUUUUUAAAAAUCAAUUUUUUUUUUUCAAAAUACAAAAGUGAAUAUUUCCAAAUAUUUUGUUUCCAUAUUUUUAGGAACUGAUUUUUUAUCUGUAGAAUACAACUAAUAUGUAGAAAACGGUUUCUACAGUUUUUUAGAAUUAUAGUGAUGUUUAGAUUUUGAUUUCUACAUGUUUUAGAUUUAUAGUAAAUCUGUAGAAGUCGGUUUCUACGUGUUUUAGAUUUAUAUUAAUGUGUAGAUUUUGAUUUCUAAAGAUUUUAGAACGAUAGGUUAAGCGCGGAAUGUGUAUUCUAAAUAUUUUUAGAAUACUCCUAUUUACGUAGAUCACGUAUUCUAAACAUUGUAGAUUCAAUGAAAAAAGUGGAUUUCGUUUUCUACUUCGUAGAAUGUCAUUUCUACUUUAUUUAGAACAUAAUAUGAAAUUGAUAAUUUUAACUUUUUUAUAACUGGAAAAAAUAUCACUAAGUUCAUAUAGGUAUUUUAUCAAAAGUUACUAUUUUUCCAAAAAAAUUUUGUUUGUAAAAUUAUUUAUUAAAUUUAUUUUCAAAAAUAUUAAAGGGUGUUAUAGGAAAAUAUGACACAAAAUAUAAAUUAGUCUAAAGGGACAUAGUUACCAUUUUUUUGCUCUAAAAAAACAGUUUUCCCAAAAUAUUUUUACCUAAUUUUUUAAAAGUGGUUAGGAUUUAAACUUUAGUAUUUAAAGAGUGAGUUUAAUAUUUGGAGUAAUUUAGUCAUCUUAUUUUUUUACUUAAUAUUAUUUUGGAGAUUUUCCUCUUUAUAUUUUAUUUUUAUUAUAUUUUUUGUGAUGUCUAAAGAAUUUGCCUUUUUAUCAAUACUACAAAGACUAUACAUGUGAUAAAACGAAAACGAAAGGAUUAUUGGAAAAAAAAAAGGAUGCAUUGAAGCAAAAAAAAAAAACUAAUUCAACGAAUGUUGUAUAAUUAAGUGCGACAGAGGAGACUAAUAAUGACAGGAUUCAUGGAUGGCGGCUAGGUAAGGAUUAAAGAAAUGUUUUCAUUUAUUCUAAAAUCUUAGUUGUCACAAACUCUGUAAUGAUGCUUACAUUAGUGUUUGGACAAUAAUAAUAGCCUCUUAAUUUUCUAUCCUCUUAAUUUUCUAUCAUCUGUUCUUAAAAGAUUCAUAUUCUAAUUUUUUUCACACAUUUUAAUAAAAUACAUUAAAUUUGCAUAAUUUUUUGUGUUUAUCUUUUUUCCAUAAUUUUUACCCAAUAAAAAAUUAAUUAGUGCAAUUAAAUUUUUUGAAAUUUGCAAUUAGUUAAUAAAAUAUGCAUUGAAAAUGUAAAAAAUAAAUCUUUUAGAAACAAUUUUUUUCUAAAAUAUAUAUGUUUAAAGAACGGAAAGAGUAUACUUUAAUUACAUGUUAAAAUUUCAAGGCCCAGCAGUAACAAACUGCCGUAUGUCCUUUAUAGUAGUCCAAGAUGAGUUAUGAUUAAUUAAACCUCACAGAAAGACAGAGAUUAAAACUUUCUUUUAAGAAAUCAGAUUUCCUUUUUAAGAAAUCAGAUUUGGUACGUAUAUCUCUAUAAUAUUAUUUGAGAAGUCACUUUCAUAGGUGUUGCAUUCACGUUAACUCUCACAGUGGUUGAUUACUAUGAUACCCCUAAUGAAAUAAAAAAGUACAUUCAAAUAUUAUUCUUUACUUUUUAAAAUUUUCUAAAUAACAAUAUAAAUAAAAAGGAAACAUUUAUAAAGUUUUAAAAAUAAUUUAAAAACGAAAAAUAUAUGUAUAUAUAAUAUGAUUUCAUAAAAAAAGGAAAGUUCACAAAAUAGAAAUAUUCCAUUUAAAAGAUAUCUUUAAGUAACAAAAAAUAUAUACUUUUGAAGUUAUAAAAUACUUUUUUAUAUCUUCAUCUUCUGAGAUGAAAAAAUAUAUUUGUAUAUAAUGUGAUUUCAUAAAAAAAAAGUUCACACAAAUGAUCUUGAUAUUAGAAAAAGAAAUAUUUUUUUUCUUUAAAAACAUAAUUUUGCACAAUACAAAUAUAUAUUUUCAAAGUAACUGAAUUUUUUAUAUAUCUAUAUAUUUUCUUAGAUGAUUACACAAAAUAAUUAAGUAACAUAAACAUAUAUAGGUUUAAUUGAAAAAAAUAUUUUUUAAUUAUUAUUAUUGAAUAUUUUUUAUGUUUUUUCAUAUAUUUAGUUUACUAUAAUAUCUUAAAAUUACGGGAAUAUAAUAUGAUUUAUAAAAUACAAUCACAUUUUUACUGCAUAUUUUAAGAGAUAUUGAAAAAACUAAAAAUAAAUUUUAGCAAUAAACAUAUUAACAAAUAAACAUAUUAGCAACUAAUUCAACUUAUAUCUAAAAUCAUAGAUGUAACUACAAUAAGAAUGUAUAAUUUAUUAGCAACUAACCCAACUUAUAUAUAAAAUCAUAGAUGUAACUACAAUAAGAAUGUAUAAUUUAUUUAUUUUGUUUAUAUAAUAAUAAUUUAUUUAUUUUUUUUAUAUAAUAGUAAUUUAUUUAUUUUGUUUAUAUAAUAAAAAUUUGUUUAUUUUGUUUAUUUUAUAAAUUUAAAUUAUAUGAUGACUUAAAACAUAUUAACAAAUGAUAAAUAAAAUAUUAACUCACUCUUACAAUUUAGAUCUUUUGUAAAAUUUAUAUAUAUGCAUGAGACUUUAGAAUAUUAUCAUUAUAUUAAUUUAUGUAAUUUGGAAUCAGACAUUUUAAUUUAUUUUUUAUUUCAUUCUAAUCACAAUAUAUCUUAAAUUAUACAUAAUUUUAAUAAAAUAUACUUAUGUAUUUAAGACAAUAACCAACCUAAAAUGCAAAUAAGAAAAUUAAUCAAAAAUUAAUAUAUUUACAAAAAAUAAAUAUUAUAGUUGAAUUCAAAUAAAUAGACAGAAUCUAAUAUGUCCAAAUGACAAUUAAAUUGACUGUAAAAACAACAAAACCAAUUAGAUAAAUAUUUAAUUAAAGUAAUAUGAUACAAUUAAUAUAAAUUAUACAUACGAAUUAUAAAUUAAUUUAAAAUUUAAAAUAAAUAUCAAUUAAUUAUUAUAUUAUAUUUAUUUUAUAAAUAUGGAUGUCCGUGCAUGAGCACGGGAAAAUCACCUAGUUGUAAGUAAAAACUAAAACCAGCGUGCUUUAAUUUUCGUAGAUUUGUAAACUAUAUAAAAAUGGACACAUCACUAAUCAUCAAAUAAAUAUUUUCACAUAACUAUAUAAAUUUACCAAAAACUAACAAUGGUUUCAUUCACAUUCAGACAAUUAAUUACCUAUUUUUACAAAUUAUCUUCAUAUUUUUGUUCUGACAAUGUUUUAAAUUUUGGGUUACAACAUGGCUUAUUAUCUUAAUACAUUAAUCAAAAAAUAAUUUUAAAGAAUUUUCACACAUUAAAUUUUUUAUAAUGUAUCAUAAAUGUAUAAUUUUAAUUAUUUUAUGACUUAAAACCAACAGCGAUUGCAAAAUCAUUAAACACUUUAGAAUCGAUUUAUUAUUAACCAAUAAAAUAUACACUAAAUUUUUUAAAAUAAUAUUUUUCACAAACAAAAUAAAAGUAGGAAUUAAUUAGAUAUUAACUACACAUAGACAUAAUUAAAAGUAUGAAAUUGCCAUUUUUGUUUGUUUUGUUUAACGCGGAAUAAUGAAUUUCAUUAAAGGGAGAGAGUAUUUAGUUCUUCGUCAAUUUUGACAGCAUAAUUAUUUAUUUGUUUGUGUGUAUGGAAGAGUGACUUUUGGUGGCCUUUUGUGUGUUGCUGCUUCAGAGAGAUUUCCCCAGUUUUUGUAAAUUCGUGUGAAAUAUAAAAACCCCCAUUCACAAACCCUAGAUUCUCUCGUUUCCUCGUGAUCCGUUCUGAGCUGAGUUUUGUAGAUCAGAUCGCAAUUUAGGUGAACUUGAGCAAGCUUGAGCUCUCUUGAAUCUGGAACAUUGGAAUUGAUGGAAUGAUUUGAGGAGGAGGAGGAGGAGAGCGAUGACUGGAUUGGGCGUUCGAUCCAGUAGCUAUGGUUCCUUGGACAAGACGGGACUCAACGGCGUCGUUUUGCCUAUCCAGACUUUGACUACUACUACGAUACGCACCAAACCAUCGAAGAUGCAUAAGGAGAGGGAGAGGGAAGGUGUUGUUCACUGGAUCUGCAAAUUCGCUGGCCGUAAGAAGGUUGGCAUGCUGCUCCUCUUCUUGAUCUCCGCCGUCGUCUUCCUUCGCGUCCUCUUCGUCGGCAAAGGUAACCGUCAGAUCAUCGUAAUGAUUCUUAAUUGGAGUAAGUUUGAUUCCUAUUGGUUAGGUUCUGUUUAGGCUUCGAAUUGAGGAGUCGUUGUUGUGUAGAGUGAUGAUCGUAAUGCUGAGAAUAUAUUAUGACUGAGAAGCUUUAUUUGAGCUGGAAUCUACUACUACUUAAAGUUGUGAGAAUAUUCUAUUUGGAAUUGUUGUUCAGGUGAAGAUGGUCAGGAAGUUCAAGUUCCUCCGAGUCUGCAUUUCAAUGGCAGUUCAGUUGUAAAUCACUCCAGCAUGUUUAAUGAAGAGCAAAACAUCAACAUUCGCAAUAUUUCUUUUAAUGUUGUAUUUUCCCCUCCUCCUUUGCAUUUUCUUGGCUAUACGCUUCCUCAAGGCCAUCCUUGUCACACUUUCACCUUGCCUCCCCCACCUGCCGACAGAAAAAGAACUGGACCUCGCCGUAAGAUUUGAUUUUUUUUUAAUCUUUCUUCUCUGAGAUUACUACAAGAUUGUUGUUGUGAUGAUGCUGAAAAGAUCGGAGAUAUGCUUCUGCUUGGUUUUGGUUUCAGCAUGCCCGGUGUGUUACCUUCCUGUAGAAGAAGCUAUCGCCUUGAUGCCAAGUGCCCCCUCGUUUUCCCCUGUUCUUAAGAACUUAACGUACAUAUAUGAAGAGCCACUAAACAGAGACACAGAGUUUGGAGGAUCGGAUUUUGGUGGUUAUCCUACUUUGAAACAUAGGAAUGAUUCUUUUGACAUUAAAGAAACUAUGAAUCUACAUUGUGGGUAAGCAUCUUUGUGGUCUUUUUAAUUCCCCUCGUCUGUUUUUUUUUUAAACAAUCUCAUCUUAGUAUUUUUUUUUCCAUCAGGUUUGUCAAAGGGCCACAACCUGGUCGAAAUACAGGUUUUGACAUGGAUGAGGCUGAUCUUCUUGAAAUGAAGCAGUGCCGUGGGGUAGUUGUUGCUUCAGCUGUAUUUGGUAGUGCUUCACGUUAUACUUUAUCUUAUUUUGUAAUUAAUCGUUCUAGUCAUGUUGCCAAUUUUUAUGUGUUUUUGAUGAAGAUUAUUUCUCUUUUCAGACGCUUUUGAUGAUGUAAAAGCCCCACAAAAUAUCAGUAAAUACUCGGAGGAAACAGUUUGCUUCUACAUGUUUGUUGAUGAAGAAACUGAAUCAAUUUUGAAGAGAGAACGAGGCCUUAACGACACCAAGAAAGUAGGGAUAUGGAGAGUUGUUGUUGUUCAUAAUCUCCCUUAUUCCGAUGGAAGGCGCAAUGGAAAGGUAGAUGCACAUCUCUUCUCUUUCCUAUGAUGAAAUUAUGCAUUCAGUUACCGAAAUUAAAACAUGAGUUUAGUGACAUGCUGGAUAUUCCCCCUUGUGUUUACAAUCUUUCACCAAAUGUAUUGCAUUCACUCUGCUGUAGCAGCAGCCUUCUUGCUUUACUAGGCUUGACGUUGUUUACUGGAAAGGGGAAACAUUAUAAAGUCCACUUAUAUGCUGAUACCUCGUUCUCUUUGUAGGUGCCAAAGCUUCUUGUUCAUAGGAUGUUUCCAAAUGCUCGCUAUUCUUUAUGGAUUGACGGAAAACUUGAGCUUGUCGUGGAUCCAUAUCAAAUUCUUGAAAGGUAAAGCCUAUCAUGGUUUGUCCUUUAAGAUUAAUCUCAGGAUCUCUCUAGUGAUUUGCUGUAUUUAGUGGUUCCCAUGUUGGGACCAUCUUGAAUUAUGGUUGGCUAUGCUGCUUCCUGCAGUUACUUACUAAUAAACAUUCUUCUAGUCAUAUUAGUGAAUGCUUAUGGUAAGAAUCUGCUAGAUACACCUCUAUCUCAGAUAAGUUGUCUUGAAGCAGCUAGCUCUUUGUGCUUUAUGUUCCAGUAACUUAAAAAUGUUCAACUGUUUCAAAUAAGUUCAUCCUUUUAUUUAAAGACCUUAGGCUUGGUGGGCCGCAGCAAUCUGAAUGACCUCUGUUUUCAUCAGGUUCUUGUGGAGGAAAAAUGCUACGUUUGCGAUCUCUAAGCAUUAUAGAAGAUUUGAUGUCUUCGUGGAGGCUGAGGCAAAUAAAGCUGCUGGUAAAUAUGAUAAUGCCUCCAUCGACUUUCAAGUGGAUUUCUACAAGAAUGAAGGGCUAACCCCUUAUUCUGUUGCUAAGCUGCCAAUCACAAGCGGUAUGUCUCUUUUGCCUUACUCUUUCCAAAAUCCAUUUUACAGGAUCAAACGUAUGUUUUAUACACAAAAUAUAUUGUCUGGCUUAUGCAGACGUUCCGGAGGGCUGUGUCAUUUUAAGAGAGCAUGUUCCCAUUAGCAACCUAUUCACUUGUCUUUGGUUCAACGAAGUAGACCGAUUCACUUCUAGAGAUCAGAUCAGUUUCUCAACAGUAAGAGACAAGAUUGCUGCGAAAACAAACUGGACAGUAAGCAUGUUCCUUGACUGCGAGAGACGCAAUUUUGUUAUUCAGGUGAGUUUCUUCUUUUCAUGGUGACUUAGCCUAAGCAAAAAAUAGUAAAGAGAGAACCCUGACAUUAUAUCAAACAAUCUAAUGCAGAGAUAUCAUCGAGCAGAACAAGAGAGAUUCGCAAGGCAAAAGCCUCCAGUGCCUAGUUUUUCUCCCCCACCGCCGUCACUGCCGACACCAGUUUUAAUCAGCAGCGAUUUGCCUAGAAAAGUCUCGAGUGGAAGAGCGGGUAGAACAUCGCCGCCUAGGAGGCGGGGAAGAGACAGACGGUCCGGUGCAAGGGGUCACAGGAAAGCUAAUUUGCCUGUAAGAUUACCAGAUUCAGCUUAAGACUGAAAGAGUCAAAGUCCCUUGCACAGAGGUUGGUUCUAUAUGGUCACUCUCAUCACCAAUUACACGUUCAAAAUUUACCACACACAGUAUGUUCUUUUUUGUUUUGUUUCUCUAUUGAUUCUUAAGGAUUCAAAAUCAUUUUUUAAUGUAUAUAUAUACACAGACUUUGGCUGAAACUAUAAAAAAAGUGGAACGUAAUGAUCUUCCAUCAGACGAAUAUUUCAGAGAAUAUUGAACAGCCAGUUUUUACAUGUUGAAUUGAUGGAUUUUGAAAGAGUGUUUUUUUCACUACGAGAUGGAACUUGUAGGUCUUUAUAGGGAGUCUUACCUCUCAUCAUCCAAAAUUUUGUAUUUUAUAAUUAUAAAUGUAUUUAAAUUUUAAGAAAAAUAUCUACUGUUUAGAGGUACGUCUAUGCAAAUUUUACUCACAACUUGUUUUUUUUUUUUGCAAAAUUUAAAAUUUACAUUCAAUUUUUUGAACAAGAUAUUAAAUUAUAAAGUUAUUGUCAUGUGCGUAUCCAUCAAUUAUCAGUUGUACUACACGAAAAUAUGGUCUUUCACUGCAUUCAUACCAGUCACUAUGUCAAUUCAUUAGAUUUAAAUUUAUUUCUUUAUGGGCCCUAACUUUAGACUCUCUCAUAAAUCUGAUCAGAUUAAAUGAAUUUAUCUUUACUUGGCCAUGAUUAUAUGUUUCUACUUUAAAUAGAAACUAACUUGUAGGUGAAUAAUAAUGACCUGUUUAUUUGGGUGAACAAUCUAUUAUCAUGUGCACAUGAAAUACAUGCGACACACGCUACAGAGUACAGAGAGUCAAAAUCAGUACCGAUAUUUGUUUCAAGUCUGGAAUAAAGUAAGCUUAGAAUUCACAUCAACUCACUUAUACUCAUCACAGAGUCGUGGAAUGUUAUCUACCUUAGACUCAUCGUUGAUUUGUAUAAGUCACUUUUGAUUUCGCUUAUUGUGAACUAACACCACUAGUUUGAUUAUGGUCGAUGGAAUGAUAGUUUAUUCCUUGUUUGUCACGAAGAAUAACAAGUGUAGAUUCGAACUUCAAAGUAGACUAGUUAAAAGAUGGUCUAGAACCAGUGUUUUAGUACACGUUGAUUAUGAUCACAGCCUCACAGGGAUAGUAUGGCAGGGAUUCUUCUUAGGUGCCAUGAGGGUUGUAUUCUGUGCGUCGUCUCUAACUUUCGUAUAUAAUCACAAUAAGAAGUCAUUCUCUUACUGCUGUGAGUACCGUCACCUGGGUUCGAAUCCCGGCCAGUGGGGAAUUAACAUUUUGGUAUCGACAGGGACAGAUGACCGACCCGUAAAAACACGUGACUAGUCUGGAUCACUUCUGUGGGGCCAGGAUACCUCUGUAUAAUUCAAAAAAAAAGAAGUCAUUCUCUUAUUCAAUAUCUUAAAAGCUCACAAAUCACAAAUCACAAAUCACAAAAUCAUGUUAUGCAACACAAUAUGCAUCUCCAUAUAUAUAUAUAGAACUCAUAAUUUCCUAAACUCAUUAGUUUUAACAUAAAUCAAUAUUUCCUAAUCUUAAUAGAUUUCCAUAACACACUAGGAUUAGAUAGCUUCCAUCUCAAGCUACUUCAAGCUACUCCAACAUUCUGGUGUUCUCAUCAGUGUUCUUCUUCGGGUGACGGAAGUCCUGGCUGUCCUUUGUUUUCGAGAGAAGUUUCAGCCGGAGAAAGGUGUCUCUCUCUUUUCUCUAUAUGGGGAUUUGUUUCUUACUUCCUACGACGAGUAUAAAUCCGGAAGCAAGUUCUCGAUAAACCUCAGCCUCCGGAGACAGAAUUGCCUCCUCUUCCAGUUAGUUUCUCUGUUGUUGCUUGAAAGUCGUUUACUUUUCUAUUAUGUGUGAUAGUUUUCAUCUUAUUAUUUCGGCAAGUGUAAAGGUAGACUUUGGCAUAUAAUUAGCAGCAGGCUCGGUCCUGGAAUUUGUAAAACAAUUUCGACCGGAAGCUUUAAAAAACUAGACCAAAAUAAUUAUAAGAAAAAAAGAAAAGAAUGAAGUUGCUUGCUUCGAACCCAUGAUCAGAAUUUUACACAGUACACACGUUUUUCUGGUUGAACUAAUGAAGACUUUGCAAAAUUAAAAGCCGAUAUUUUAUUUAUUUUUAAGAAAGCAGGAAGCUGGUGCUUCCUCCGUUUCUUUCCAGGGCUGGUACUGGCAAAAUCGAAUAAAUUUUUACAAAGUGACGGUAUGUUGUAAGUAUUGUUCAGUGAUAACUAUUAGACAUAAAUUAUUAUAAGGCAUAUAUAUUUAUCGGUUGUAUGUAAUGUUUUUCGUAAUACAAAAUCAAUGUUAAAAGGGUGUAAAUGUAAAAUUCUUUGAUAAAAAAACAAUUAAUACAUAAUAAGACUGUCCACGAUGAUUUCAGUAUUCAAAAAUCUUUAGAAACAAACAUAUGACAUCAGUGGUCUUCUCUUCAUCCUUCUUCAAAUGUUGAAUGUUUUCAACACUAAAUAACUCAUAUCAUCAAAUUUCAUUGUUCAACAAGUUCAUUAUGAUUCAACUACAAAUGUUUUAUUCAACAUUUUCAUUGUAAAUGGUCUAAGAAGUGAUGACAAAGAUAUAAUUCUAAGGUAGGGAAAGUCAUACAUAUCAUUAAAACAAAUUGAAUAAACGUUCAAAAAUCUCUACACAUCUAUCAUAAUACAAAGAUGACUUAUUCUUAGGUCCACCCCCUAGGGUGAACCUCUAGGUUCACCAACCAAUAAGAUUGUUUUAUUUUAUAUUCGAUAUCUUUUAAAAAAAGAAACAAAAUAUUGUCAAAUUAUAUUAUGUUUUUAAAAUUAAAAGGUAAAAAAAAUAGUAAUAAUUACAAAAAAAUAAUAUUUUACGUCGUUAGCAUAACAUUAAACCCUAAAUUCUAAUCCCUAAACCCUUAAUCCUAAACCCUAAACCCUUGGAUAAACCCUAAACUCUAGGAUAAAUCCUAAACUCUAAAUCAAAAUCACUAUAUACUAAAACAUUCAAGCGUUUAGAGUUUAGGGUUUUAGUGUUUUUUAUUUAGAGUUUAGGAUUUAUCCAAGGGUUUAGGGUUUACCCAAGGGUUUAGGGUUUACCCAAGGGUUUAGGGUUUACCCAAGGGUUUAGGGUUUAUCCAAGGGUUUAGGGUUUAGGGUUUAGGAUUUAGGAUUUAGGGAUUAGGAUUUAGGGUUUAGUGUUUUGUUGAAAACAUUAAAAAUAUAUAUUUUUUUAAUUCUUUUUUCUGUAACUAUUAUCUUUUUUUACUUUUUUAUUUUAAAAACAUAAUAUAAUUUGAGAAUAUUUUGUUUCUUUUUUUAAAAGAUAUCGAAUUUGAAAUUUUGAAAUUUUAUUGGUUGGUGAACCUAGAGGUUCACCUUAGGGAGUGAACCCAAGAAUGACUCAAGAAUAUUAACUUUUCAGACUUUUAAUAUCAGUCAGUUUGUAUCUAAAUCAAAGGAUCUGCAUUAAUGUCAAAAAGCUAAGAAAUCAAAGAUAAAUCUUCCAAUUAUAGAACGAAUAUUCUGAUUUUAUUAAUGUUCUUCCACUAUAUUAGGAGAGAGAGACUUAUUUCAAGUUGUAAAAAUAUGUAGAUAAAAUCAUGAUAUUAAUUAGUAUGAAUAGUAACAGCUCCACGAGAUAAUUACAAUGUUUUUUUCUUUGACUAACUAAUUCCAACGUUUUUUAUUUGAUACAUAACAUAACUGAUAACAAGAUUUGUGGAGAUAAAACAGGAAAAACCAUCGCUAGGUCAAACAAAAAAACAAAGAUCAUACAAAUCUAAGAAACAAAGAUCAUAACAUAAUCAUUUUGAGAGAAAAGACAGUAAGUAGCUUCUGUUUGUUUGUAUGUCUGUUUGUUUGUUUUAUAACUAACGUAACUCCUACAACACCAACCCUAAGGUUUCAUUGCUCACAGAAAUCAAAACCAUCUAUCUCGUUUUGAAAAUUCAAUCGAGGAGACAAGAAUGGCGAGGGCUCUUGUGAUCAUAAACUGCAUCAUUCUGGCCAUAGGAAACUGUGGAGGUCCUCUGAUCAUGCGUCUCUACUUCAACAAUGGUGGCCACAGGAUUUGGUUCUCCACUUUUCUUGAAACCGCUGGCUUUCCGAUCAUAUUCAUUCCUCUUUUCUUCUCUUACCUUAACCGGCGCAGAAGCAACAACAAUGAAGGGGAGAAUACACGGUUCUUUCUCAUUAAACCACGUCUCCUUAUGGCUGCGAUUCUGAUAGGGAUCCUCUCAGGGUUCGAUAACUACUUAUACGCAUACGGCAUAGCUUAUCUCCCGGUUUCAACAGCUGCUCUCAUCAUUGCUUCACAGUUGGCUUUCAUAGCUAUCUUCUCGUAUUUCAUGGUCAGCCAUAAGUUUACUCCUUUUACCAUCAAUGCUGUUGUGUUGUUGACUGUUGGAGCUGCUGUAUUGGGCAUGCAUACGGAAACUGAUAAGCCGGUUCAUGAGACUCACAAGCAGUACAUGGUUGGGUUCUUGGUGACUGUAGCAGCCGCUGUUAUGUAUGCAUUUCUAUUGCCGUUAGUGGAACUUGCUUACCAGAAAGCUAAACAACCCAUGAGCUAUACGCUUGUGCUUGAGGUUCAGAUGAUUUUGUGCUUCCUUGCUUCUUUAGUCAGCCUCGUUGGUAUGCUCAUCGCUGGUGAUUUUAAGGUAUGUUACUCUUUGAAACAGAUCAGAUGUUUUUUUGACUCAUGUCCUGAGUCCUUCACCCUUUUUUUUUUAAUUAUUUGCAGGCUUUACCAAACGAAGCAAGAGAGUUCAAGCUUGGAGAGGCAAUGUUCUAUGUGGUGGCUGUACUUUCAGCCAUAAUAUGGCAAGGGUUCUUCUUAGGAGCCAUUGGUUUGAUCUUCUGUGCAUCGUCUCUUGUCUCUGGUAUAAUGAUAUCAGUUCUUCUGCCAAUCACAGAGGUUUUAGCUGUUAUUUUCUACCAUGAGAAGUUCCAAAAAGAAAAGGGUCUUUCUCUUGCUCUGUCCCUUUGGGGUUUUGUCUCUUAUUUUUAUGGUGAGAUCAAAGCCGACAAGGAUAAAAGAAUACAAGAGGAGGCACAACUGAAUUCUUUGCCUAGAAGAACGAGAAUUACUGAGUGUUAAAACUUAAACACAUGAGCUUAGAAAGACAUCAUAAAGGUUUUAUUACUUCAUUUCAUCCCUGUUACACUGUUAUUAGAUUAGAGGAUAUUAAACAGCUUGGAACUAUAUGCCAAACACACAACUCUAAGAAGCUUUUUUUUUACCUUUUAUACUACUCAAAUGAAUUUGUGACAGAAAAAUUGCAAAGUUAGUCUUGUGUUGUCUUCUGCUGGUUGCUUUUAGCUUUCAUCUAUCUUGAUGGAGGUUUCAUCACAUUAACUUGUUCAACAAUAACGCCACAUCACCAUUGUGGAUAAAUCGCGUAAUUCGAGGACCAGUCCCACCUGUAAGUUCAGCUAGUAGAGCUUCUGGUAAAGCCUGUUUGGUUCAUUUGUAUGAUUCUUCAUUAUCACCAGUAAGAGGAGAUAACACUCGGUUGAAACACAAUGCAAAGGAAAAAUCUUAAGACAACCACACCCAAAUAUUUUUAGCUUUUUCUAACCACAUAUCUUUCACUCAUACUGCUUCCCCUAGAGAUUCUAGUUAUUUGAUUGAAACUUGAAUACAUCAAAAACAAGCCUAUUUAUACCAAUACAUACAUGCUUUACAUACUUCUUUCCUGUUUAUUCUUUCUAGCAAGGCCUAGAAAAUCCAUCAAUAACAUAUAAGGAUAAUUCCUCUACGUUAUAAUAAACACAAAGCAGAUUCAAAAUGCAUGUACGCACCACCAGUUUC
This 69669-nucleotide long non-coding RNA is filed under the name Brassica rapa (field mustard). RNAcentral's name for it is "long non-coding RNA (BRAP_LNC005165)". Lineage: Eukaryota; Viridiplantae; Streptophyta; Magnoliopsida; Brassicales; Brassicaceae. The record is from RNAcentral.